UCAUAUCUAAGCCCAAUAACAACAUAUCACGAAGAAAUCGUUGACGAUCAGUCAAAUCACGUGUUUGUCUUGUUUCUUGUCACAGCGUCUCGUUGGAAUUUCUCGUUUGCUCCGCUGUUAGCUCCAUCCGGUGGAAUCUCUGAUUAUUUAUCCUCUGUGAUCACCCCCGUAAGCUCGUCUUCUCUCUUUCGCAUUCUAUCUUCCUUCUACGAGAAUUGAAAUCCUUGCCCAUUAUAAAUUUGCAGUUGAAAUUGCAUUUAGACCAAAAUAGUGGCAUACUUUUGUCAUUUCCUAGUUUUGAAAAUGUUGAACUGCUUUGAUUAUGAAAUUUCUACAAAUUUUAUUUCUUCUCCAGUAGAAAAAAAAAAAUUAGACUUAGCAUGGACUCACAGUCGACCACAACAUGUUCCGCAAAGUGGGUCUGGGGAGGUUAGCCCUACCUGAGAUAGAGAAACCGUUUUCGAUAGACCUCGGUUCAAGAAAAAUCAGUCCAAAGCAAUCCGGAAAAAGAAGUAACGGAAGUGAAAGCAUAACAAAGCAUUCUGAAUAGUUACUAUAGCAUAACAAUAUGAUAGUAAGAGUACAAGAAACUAUAGGAGUAAUAAUAUGAGCUUUGAUAGCAUUUAUAUGUUUUGAAUUUCUGCUGUUUUGAUGAGCCACAAUAAUAAGCUCCUUUUUUUUUUUAUGUUAGAUGGUACAGAUGAGACUCAAUGAAUCUCUGAUAAUGUGUUCUAUGCUGUUGAAACUUAUAUCAAUACCAAGUGCAUAAUGCUUAGCUAAAAACGGCAGUCCCUAGCUAACUGAAUGGCGAGUAUUACACGAAAGAAUUUACAAGUGAAUGCUGGAGAGAAAUUAGAAUUCAAUAGUUUUAUCCAAAUAUCCCUAAUCGUUAAGGUUUGUCGAGGAAGGUCUUUUUUUUUUAAAAGAUUUUUGAGGCACUUAUGGCUGUUUGGUUUUGGGAAUAGGAAGCGGUUCAUGUAGUUAAGCGCAAAUAUUGUAUUGUGAAUUAUAGUAAUUCUACAGAGAGAAAAGAAUAUGGGAAGGAGUUUAGGUAGAGAGAUUCAAAACAGAAAGGGAAGGGCUUUUGACUGAUCAUCUCUUCAAAGAGGGAGGGGAGAACUGGAGCAUAGAUGGUUGUGUACAGAAAGCAGCGGGUGCAGGCACAUAACUCGAGUUAAAUUCAUUUGGAAAUAAUAUAUUCUUGCUAAGAAAAUGUGGAAAAUCCACUGUUUUCAUAAUUUUUGGUCACUAGUGCUUUAUGUGGAAGUAUUCUUAAAAAUGAGAAGCCUUUGUCAAUAUGGCUUUUGGACAUGAAUGAGUGAACUAUUGUCUUUUUUUCCUCAGGAGUGAAGGGAAAUUUUGCGGUUGACUCUCCUGGUUAAUAUAAUAUAGUGCAGAUGGCUAUUGACAGAUAAGGCUGAAUAUUAUCAGUUCGGUGCAAACCUGGCUCUUUAGCAGUGCCUUUACAAAUUUCUGCAGUGGUGUGUGUAAACUUCAGUAAUAGUAAUGUUCCCUUCCAUUUUAGCAUGACAAAGGGUGAAAACCGAACAAAUAUUGCAUGAACAUAGAGGUGAGUCAUUGGAUUCUAGACAUAGCUCCCAUUGUAUACAUUAUAUUCUGUCCCUUACAAUGCGUAACUCUGGGUCACCCCAUUUUUAUCCUUGUAAUGCCUCGAGUUAGAGACAACAGUGGUUGUGAUAACUCACUAGUUAAUAAAACAGUUGUUAAACCAUGUCUGCUACCAAGUCAAUAACAUUUCCACUUUGCGUAGUUUGCCUCCCAAUGUGUAGAGUCGCUGAAUCUCAGAAUCCAUAAGGGGCUGUAUAGGGGCCUGGCAGAGCACAAUCUGGGUAUUUUAUGUGAACGUUGUGGAAGAAGCAAAGAAAAUCUGACUUUUUUUUUAAUUCUCUUGGAUAAUUCCUAGUGUGUUAUGUUCAGUUAUUUCUCUUGGACUCUUUUAAUUCCAUUUUCUAUGGAUAGUUAUGAUUUUAAAAUAUCAUAUACUUACCAACAUGUUAAAAGGCAGCGGGCUCUCAUUGGGGCAGUAAUAUCUAAAAUCGCACCAAGGCUUUAAAAAGCUUUUGUCCUUUUGGUCUCUCAUUUGUCCCUUCUUGUUUGUAUCCCUCUACUGAGUGCUCCUUUUGUAUCGCAUUAUUUUGUUACCUAAGGAAAAUAAAUGUUAAUUUGAGCUAAUGUCUUAUUAUAGAAACUUAUAAAUUACACAAAAUGUUUAACUGUGUGAGAGAUAUGGAGUAAAGAAGAAAACGACACUAUCAAUGUUAUGAGCUAAAUAUGUGCUGUACUAAACCGUUACAUCUUCAGAAAAUAUAUCAUUGCUGUAAUUGAUUUCUCCAAGAGAAGUAUAGUUUUCUAUUAAAAAUUGUUCCAUUUAUAGGAGUGUUACCCUAAUGAUGAAUGUUUUUUUCUCCUAAAAUAUCUUUAAGAUAUUAAAAUAAUAUUUGAUAAUCCGAAAUUGAAGUUCAUAGGGCUUUUGCUUCUUCUCGUAGGGGUAGUUUGGUGUGAGGUAUAAGUCCCGGAAUAAAAUGAAUGACUAUUUUAUCCCAUGUUUGGUGUGAGGUAUUAGUUAGUACAGAGAUUAUUUAUCCCACCAUUUACACCAUAGUGACGGGAUAAGUUAUCCCAUAUACAUGUUAGGAUAACUAAUCCCGGGGUAACUUUUUUCCAACCAAACGACCCCAUAGAGUUUAUGCCCCACAAACAGAGAUAAAAUGCGUCCUGUUCUAUCUUCACAUUUUAGGAAGGGAGGGAGGGGGUGAAUUGAAUUUGAAGUAUGUUGUGAUGUGGUUAUUCUGAUAACAAUAGAUGCUGAGAACUACAAAAAAAGAAACUAUAAACUCAUGCAAAUGUUCAUGUCAUAGCUACUAAGAUAACAUAUAUUGACAUCUAAAUGCAAACCAAAAGCCUCAUGCAUUUACACAUUUGAGCUACAAAACACACUUCUGCUGGCCUAUACUUCUAUAAUCCCAUCGACAAUCCUGUUAGAUUUAUGAAAAUAGUUGCUUUAAUGUCAAAAGUCCAAGAUACUGUUGCAUAUUCUAUAACUCGAAAUACUUAGAGAAUAUAGCGUUCUUUGUUUCUUCUUGUCUGUACCAUCUCAUUCCUUUUCCUUUCCAGCCAUUGCAUCCUUAGAUUUCCUCCCUUUUCAGAAGUUAAAUCCUUUGAUAAGUCCAUUACCCUCCUCAAUUUUUACCAGUUGAUCUUCAUAUGGGAGUUCAUUAGUUCUUCCCACUAGUUCUUGUGCCUUCAAGGAUGCUCCUUCCCAAUCAAUACUAUAAGUGACUAUUAACAUUGAGAUUACACAUGCCACUUGAGCUGCUAGAAGCCCAUAACAAAGACCCAAAAAUCCUAGUUUCCAAACGAAGGCCAAAAUGAUGGCCACUGGUGUUCCCAUCAAAUAGAACGAGUAGAAGUUAAUACCUGCACCAACACCGGGCCUAGCACUUCCCCGAAGCACCCCACAACAUGUUGUUUGUGGACAAUUAGCUAGUUCACAAAGUCCAAUAAUGGGGAGAACGGUCGCUGUUAGCUCCAGUACUUCUCUAUCUUUUGUAAAGACUGUUCCCCAUGCUUCUCUCCCUAAGGUGGUGAGUAAGAAUCCAAAUGUUGAAGUCAAAAAAGCCAGCCCUAUGGCUAUCCCUGUCGCCAAGCGAGCCUUAGCUGGCCGUCCCGCUCCAAGUUCGUUCCCUACCCUGCUUGAUACUGAAGCACUUAAGGCUGAAGGCAAUGUGUACAUGAGAGAUGUGGUUUGUAUUACAAUAGCAGAUGCGGCAAGUGGAACUUCAGGCCUGUCAAGGUAGCCGGCUAGAACUGUCAUGAACUCAUACCACCACCACUCUAAGCAAACUGCUAAACAACUAGGUAUAGCAAGUUGAAGAAGUAUUAUCCAUUGCUCUCCCACAGAAAUGGAAGGAAGAAGUUUUAUAUUUUCUGGUAGGGGCUUUGACAGAGAUCCAUGUUGGUCAUAAGUAAAGAAGAUAUAGCCUAAAAGGAAGAAUAAGGUGACAAAGUCAGAGACAAAGGUUGAAAUUGCAAUUCCUUGAAUCCCGAGACGGAGAGUAAAAGUCAGGUAAACUGUGAUAGGGAAAUGCAACACUGUUGCAAGUGAAGUACACCAUAAUAGAGGCCAUGUUGUCCCUUUACACCGUAGGUAGAUGCGUAAAGGGUGAAGAAAGCUGUUAGCAAUAAGAUCUGGGACAGCAAAUCUGCAAAAUACACUUGCGACAUGUAUUAUUUGUGAGUCUUGGUGUAGCUUUAGCAUGAGAGACUCAAAAUUAAACCAUAAAAACGCAAUAGGUAUAGAUGCAGUUAAUAACAUAAAGAUUGUCCUUUGAAGGGCAAGAGACACUAUAGUUAAGUUUCUUGAUCCAAAAGCCUGACUAGAAAGUGGUUCCAUCCCCAAGGCUAGGCCAGACAAUACAGAGUAACCAGUUAUAUUGGUGAAGCCAAUGGCCAGUGCACCCCCUGCCAGUUCCAAGCUUCCCAGCCUUCCCAUGCACACAACUAAAAUCAUGUUUUUUAAGUAGGUCGCCAAGCCCAUAGCAAGUAUAGGAAAACCUCUGUCCAUUAUUUUCUUCAAUUCCUCCGUGACCUAGAAAUUAUGGUUUAAAAAGAAUGUGCUGGUCAGGGUGAUUCAUACACAUUUUCUUGUGAUUUCAAAUAUUUUAAAAGGAUUCUGCAGUUUAUACCUCUGGUAAAGUCGGGUGUGUUUUGGUCUGCUCUGCUGCCAUCUUCUUUAAGCUUCGUCCUCUUUCCUCUUGUUUGCUUGUUUUGAAGUGUUAUACAGAGAGCUUAACUCUGUAUAAAUCCUCUUUGUGCAUGCACUUCUGUAUCCAUGCGCAAAUACCACCCACUCACGUGCACUUAUGUAAGAUGUAGAGAGAGGGAGCAAUAUAUAGAGAGAGGAAGAGAGGGAAGGAGAUACUGAGAGACACUAGCUUGAGUGUCCAGGAGCAAGGAUAUUUAUAGGGGCUGCAGGUGCUGGUGGAUUUCUGAGUUACUGGUUGUUGAAAGUUUAGACCUGGAGUUGAGCUAUGUAAUGAAGCACGGUGAAUAUUAUUUACAUCGAGUAAUAAGGUGCACUCUCCUGGUCCAACUGUCGUGGUUACAGUUUGUCCUUUUCCCAAGUAUGUUAGAACAUAUCGACUUCACAGCAAACGUAGUAACAUAUCCACUUCUCCUUCUUAAAGAACUAUGCUCGAAUGUUAUGUUACUGAUAUAUUCCGGCCUGAAAAUGUUUUAGUAUUGAGCUGUAAAUAUUGUACACGUAUAUUUUGUUAAUUAGAGGUUCUUUCUUGUUAUCCUUUUACCUUUGGGUUUUAUGUAUUUCUACUUUCGCAUUGUACGUUGAACUACUCAAGGGGCUCAAACUGUAGCUUGGGUUGGGGCCUUUCGUCAUAUGCAUUCAAGGUCUGUAUUUUCAUCAUUACUUUGGGAGGAUGCCACUAAGGAGACAUUUAAAUUGACUUCUCUAAACCACUUAGGAUCAAUCUGAGUCAAAUGAUGGGAAUUUUCUAUUUAUAAUGCAUAGAAAUGAUUACUUUUCUAUUUGUAUAGGAUGUCUUAUUUAAAGCAAAUCUGAAGUUAACGGGGUAUACUCACCGUAUUCUGAUUUUCUUAUUGUGAGCUGCAACCUUGAGUUCAUUGGAGUACAAAGUGGCCUAACUAUUAUUGUUCCUUUUGAUAAUUAGAAUUAGGUAAUGCCUUUUCUCAUGCUAAUGAUGGCAUCUAAAACUAUGUUAGUGGUGGUGGUCCCAUGUUUGAGCCCUUCUCACAUGCUAGUUGGUGUUUUUAGGAUAAGCAAAAACCUUCCAGUGAUGUUUACAUCUAUGGUUAUUCUAGUGUAUCCAAAAGAUCCCAAGGCCAAACACCAUUUUAAAUUAUAGCACACCCCUUGUCCUGAAAAGUUAUUACAACUGUCUUCUUUCAAUUUCAUAUCCUAAUUGUACAUGCUUUCUGUAUCCCACCCCACUUUGGUUUCCACAUCUCCUGCGUAUAACGAAGUGUUAAUACCUACCUCCCCUUAGAUUAGUUAGUUAUUUUUGUACUCCUGUUGUGCAAGGUUGUUUUCCUCUUACACUUCGGUGUCUUUAGUUGGGGGUACAUGCUUUUGUGCACCAGUGAAUGUCUAGCUCCGUGGUUCACUAUGCAUACUUGCUUUUGUUUUUGUACCUGUCUUAUAUCUUUCAAUCCACUACUACUUUUCCCUGUACAACAGCUUACAUGAGGGACAUUCCACCUUAUGUUCAACGUCUAUCCUUUUCAAAAUCUCAUUAGUUAGUAAAGAAAGUGCAUUUGAAUAGAGGAAAAGAACAAUUUACAAGGUUCCUAUCUUUUAGGUCGAAGCUCACCGUUUCCUUUUCACUCAGGUUAUUCUCUUCAGGUCACAUAGGUGUUCUAGAAGAAACCUCCCUUGUCUCCAUGUCUCUAUGGUAAUAUUGACUGAAGGUAACUUAAGUGCAUGCUCGGUGUGAAGUUUCUUAUUUUUCCAUGUUUGGUUGGACAAAAUUUUUGGAAAACAAGUUCCUAAAAAUUGAGGAAAGUGAGUUUCUCAAUAAAGUAGGAAAAACAAGUUCUAUACGUGACAUUCGAUGUUUAUUAUAUCCCAACCACCUCUAUAGUAUUUUGCUCGCUUAUGUAUAAAUGCUCUUGAGAUAACUUUUUUUUUAAUACUUACCAAACACUAAAAAAUAAGUAAGAAACCAACUUGUUUGUCAAGAAAACAUUUUCCAUUAAAAAUAUCCACCCUCGUACCAGACACACCCUAAGUCAUUUGAAUUGAAGGUAAUGUUGUCACAUUGUGAUGAAACCAUCCAUGUGCAAUUUAGUUAAACCUCUGGCAAAUAGCUACUUAUCAAUAUUGAAUCAUUGCACUUUUCUUUAUAGUGUCAACAAAUUGCAUAUCGGGCGCCAUCAUCUUCCCUCCUAACUUCAUUAUAGAUAAGAAGAGAAUUAUCUCUCUUUUAGCAUCAAAAUAGCAUUUUCAACAGCUAGUAUUGUAUGGUUGUUUGGAGAAACCGCUACUGUCUUAGAAGGCGACUUCUGCAUUUAAGCUGCUAAAAUGUUGCACAUUUUGGUCCCAAAGUUUCAAGCAUUGUAUUAUUUGUAUCACAGAAGUCAAAAAACCGACAAUGUUUUUCAUAUUCCCCCACUCACACCUCUAUAUUUCCAUCAACUUCAUUUGUGUCCGAGACAUGGGAGAAGUUGAAAAAACCAUAGCAUUUUGAUAGGAGAUGAUGUUCAGCACUAACCACCAAAUGGGUCUUAAUGUUGCUUCUGUCUGAAAAUUUAAGCAAUAACUCUACUGUACAAACGUUUUGACAUUCGACCAAUGCCUUUGUUCCUUGUCCCACAGCUGCUUUGGUUGGCUUCUUAGUAUUCUUUCCUUUCUUCUCCCACUUUUGACCAGCAAAAACAGAACUUGUUUAUUGUUAUCUAAUCACAAUUAUUAAAUAAUAACCUAUAGUUUGUGAACGAACUGUACAUAAUUAAAGUCAAAAUUAACAGCCAAAAGAGAUUUUAUGGAUCUUAGUGUCAUAAUCCUCCCCUAGGGCCCAUAGAGCAUGAUUUUUUCCUUACUGGAUAUAGCACUAAUCUCCAGCAGAUUUUAGUCAUAAUCUCUCUAAUUAGGGUUUCAAACCGCAAGUAUGAUUGUUAUUUACAGCAAGCAACAUCUUUAGAAUAGGAAAAUCGUUAGUGGAAAGAAUCUCCUAUUAUUAGAUUGCCCACAUCAUUUGGUCUCCACAUCAUGAAGUGCUCCCAAUCCUGAAAGGCAUAUCGUUAUCAUCAAAGCUUAAAAAGAUGAAUAAAUUGACCAUUGUUCAACUUUUUCCCUGUACCAGAUUCUUGCACAUGAAAGGAAUAUCCGAACGUCUUAGGAACGCGUUCGAGAAAAUGGACUAGAUCAUGUUACCUAAUCAAAAGGUUUGACUUAAUUGUUGAAACUUUUACAUUUAUGGUGGUAACAUUAUUUUAUAUUGUCAGUGGUAUAGGAUUCUAUCUCCUCUUUAUUUUUCCUUCUCGCUUGAACGAAUUAGAAUACGUUAAUAUGUAAUGAUUAUUCACUAUUGUAACUCAAUUGGAAUUCGCAAAAUUGACAUUCAAGAAAUUGGGAUUUUAUUGAUCAAUUGGGUCUAUUACAAGAUUCUAAUACAACAAGAAAUGAACUAAGCUUCCUUGGUAGAACUUGAGGUCGAACAACAAUGGUGAUUACUUGGAGAAUAAGGAUAGAAAAGAGUGAGGAACGUGAAGAGGAAGAAGAGAGAAGAAGAAGAAAAUGGGAGGAAGGUAACUGAGUACCAGUAAUUCACUGAACUACUUUUCCUUCAGACAGAUUCUUAACUGCUAAUUAGGGUCGUUGAUCAAACCAGGCUAAUUAGGGUCGUUGAUCAAGCCAGCUGUAAUUGCGUGUGGACCGUUCGAUUUGCACCCUUGUGACUUGCAUGUGCCCUUUAUUAAUCCCAAUUCUUGCUUCAACUGUCUCCACGUGUAUUCCACUAUUGACUCCUUUCUUAGACAUUUCCAUUACUACUACUUUCCAUUUCUAAUUCAUAAGUACUUUUCCAAUUUCCUUCGUUCCAAUCCUUAAUCCCCUUUUCUUCCAUAUCCAGUCAUAUCACUACCCCCGGUAAAAAAUGACCUUGUCCUCAAGGUCGAUGAUCAGCCAUGAACUUCGAAAAUUGACCUUUAAGGAAGCCCCAAUCCUCUCAGGUGACAUCCCCGGUCCCAUGUUGGACCAUUGGACUAAGAGCUUGACACUUGCAACAUUGUUUUCACGUACUAAUCGACGUUGUAGGAUGGCAAUGGGUUGCACCAAGACCCGACCCUCAGCGUCACAAGUUGGGGGCUAUUGUUGAGGCUCAAUAGCUGGACCAACACACCUUUUGAGCUGCGAGACAUGGAAAAUAAGGUGGAUCUGCGACCCUUAAGGUAACUCCAGCUGGUAAGCAACUGACCUAAUACGUCUGAUAAUCAUAGUACUUAGCACAAAGCUUUAAAUUUAUGCGUAUAGCAACGGAAGUUUGACGACAGGGCUGUAGUUUCAAGUCGACCAGGUCUCCUACCUGUAACUCUCUAUCAGUUUGAUUCUUAUCUGCAAAGUGCUUCAUACGAUCCUGCACUUGUUGAAGGUUCUCUCUUAAAUUUUGUAGCAUGUUUUGUCGUUGGGCUAAGUUAAGACCUAAGGGCAUGUGAAGAGAGUAAGGUAAGGACCCUAAGGGCACCUGGGAGGUAAAAAUUCGUAUAGUGCCUCGAAAGGAGUAGCCUUUAGGGAGCAAUAGUGGUUGGUAUUAUACGACACUCGGCCAAUGGCAGCCACUAUUUAAGAUUAGAGAAGACUGUAGCUAGGGGUGUACAGACCAAACCACCAAGUCAAAUCGAACCGAGAAAAAAAAUCCACUUAUGAUUUGGUUUGAUUGGUUUGGCGUUAGAAAAAAAAAUCGACCAUUCUUGGUUUGGUUUGGUGUUAGCCAAAAAGAAGUCAAACCUAACCCGAAUCAAACCGACAUAAUAUAUAUAUAUAUAUAUAUAAAGUGUGAAGAUCCUUAAAAAAAUUAUUUGAACUUUUUGUCCUUCAUUAAAAGAUCAUCUUUUAGACAAAACUAUUUUUUCACUAUUUUCUUCAAUUUAUUAUUUAAUUAUUUCUAUUAUAUUAACUAGACUCCUAAAAUAUAUGGAAGGAGAAUCAAUUAAUAUUUUCCUUUGUAGUGAUCAAUUAGAAAAAUACUCCUAAAAUAGGAUAGAAAAAUACUCCUAAACUAGGAUUCUAUUAAGGAAAUACUUCUAUAAAUAUUGAGAUGCCCGUUAAACUACCAAAGAAAUCGAUAUACUUAUUGAAAAAAUAUGAUUGAUGCUCAUCUAAUCUAAUUCAGUUGCAUGUCUAGAUUGGUGGAUGCUUAAUUUUCUAACCCUCAACUUCUUCACUGUUUUUGUCAACAUAAUAGAAUUCAAAACAGUCCACAAAUCACAACAUAAUAGUACCUAGUAAUGAUACAAGACAAGCAGGAGGAACACGAAACAGUCACAAAACAGUCCAAUACACCCUCUAAAACAGUCCACAAUCACAACAAAUUGUGAACCAAAUGGAGACCUCACUCGAAUUCAACAAAUACAACAAGAAUACAAGAAACAAAGGUGUAUUUGACACCGAAAACAGCCACAAAUCGUGAAGAACAAGAUGACAACAAGAACACAAAUUUUUGGAUUCAACAAGACACAAAAACAGUCCACUACAAACAAUAACAAGAUUACAAGAAUAAAAGGAUAAAUAGUGAGAUAUAGAUUUGUUACAAGACUUAGGAACAAAAUGUGAUUCAAACGCUAAACCCCUAAUUAAUGUAACAACAACAACACACUCUUACGGUGAUCGCCAAGGGAAUCACUCACCUCAAGAUUCACUAUUUUCAAGCAAAGAACAAUAUUGGCUUUUUCAAGCCCUAACUAAGAACUAUACUAAUGUGUUGCACUCUCCAAAGAGAUAAUAAGUCUUUCAAAUGUUCAUCAUUCAUUAACUAAAGAGAAAUGACCUAAAAUAGAAUAUAUAUAGUAUAUUACAAAAGAAAGAUAAAAUGACUCCAAUGCCCUUAAUGAGGUGGGUGGCAAUGGAGUGUCAUUUAGACAAAGCUAAAUGACCAAAAUGACCUUGAGGCUAAGUGACCAAAAUGACCUUAAUAAAAGAGGCCAAAAUCGUGAACCAUCAAAUGUGGUCCAAACCCGUGAGUCCUCUAGUCUUCAAGGCUCCAAGCAAUCUUCCACACACGGGUUUGUUUGAUGGCAUGCUCAAAAUAACCCCUACAAGUAUGAUCCUGUGCCCUUCAUGGGACCAAAGCUUGAUUCUUCACGUAGUGACUUUGAAUGAUAUCAUCGAAAGCUACGGCGGUCACUUCACUUGUAUCAUCCUCCCCUUCUUGAAAAGGAUUCGACCUCGAAUCCGUACGUUGCAAAACAAGAGAAAGGACAAACAAGCACAACAUCCUCAUGGCAUAAGGGUUGGGGUUAGCACAAUAAUAAAUAUCAUCACGCCAAGGGGGUACAUACUUGAAGUAUAACCAAGAAUCCUUUAAAGUGAGUAUUAAAAACUCAAUGAAAGAUGUACAAAGGAUUUGGUUAUGGGAUACACCAAGAGUGAUACUUUUCUUGUCAUGUAGACCAAGCAACAAGUUGGGUGCACCAACAUCACUAUUUAUACAUUUGGCAUCGGGGUCAAAUGGGAAAAAUGGCCAUAAACACGGGUCUAAACAACACUCCCCUUUCCCAUGGUCUACUCCCAAACUAAACGACAUACUCUCUAUAAUAGCAUACAUAUCAUCCAAAGAAAAUAGAGAGUAGAGAAAAGUAUCACUCAAAUCGACUUCUACCAAGGUUCCCUCAUGUGUGUACUCCCUACCAGUUUCCCAAUAAUAACCAUGAGUACUCUCAACAAUAAAGCCACACAAAGUAAAAGAAGUAGCUUCCGUAACUACACAUUCCUUACCCUUAAGAGUAUUCUCAUCUUCCAAGAAAAGAUUUCCAUUUUUGGGAGGAAUGUUGUCACACCAAAGUGGGUUAGCAUAUAGGCUAUAGCUUCCAAGGCAAGUUAUAUCAUCAUUUUCACCACUAGCUUUAUUAGAAGUGUUUAAAUCAUCUUCAAAGAAGACAUUACACCUAAAGAAAGUGUGAUCUACCUCACGGACAGAUUUGGAAUAAGCAAAUUCCUCACACUCUAAAUGAUCAAUAUCAAGUUUCAAGGAUGUUCCAAACAUAAGAUUACCCCAAGAAGAGAUCUAGGGUUCACUCCCACUUUGUUGACCAACAUUUUCAAAUACUUCACUCACUUGAGUUCUAUUAAGCACAUCACACACAUACUCGGGGGGGUGGGAGGGGGGGACAAUUUUCACAAACAAGUUGAUUAACACCAAUUACAUAAAAUGAUGUACUUCCGUUCAACAUAUAGGCUUCAACACUAGGUGGACAUAAAUUGAUCUUACAAGAAGAGUCAAUUUCGUCAUCACUAGGAUCAACUAGUGUAUGUAAACUCACAAUAUGUACAUCAUCAACAAGAGGCAAGGAAUCAUUAGACUCAUAAAUAAGUAAGCUACUACUCACACUCAAUGGCUUACUAGCUACACAAUUAUCAUUCACAUGCACUAAAGUGUAAGAGUUAGCUAUUUUACCUUUAAGAUCUUGAGUAGACUCUUCCUUGUAGUGAGGUGAAGGUCCUCCACAAGCUUGGGCAACAACUUCCUUUUGGCAUUGUUCGCCUUCGCUUGCCAUGUUGGUACCUACACAAAUGUCCUUAGAAAUGGAAAGACAACCAAUGUUAGCACGGUUUGGUGACAAUCCCCUCACUUCGCUCGACAUAUCCUCUCUUUUUUCUACUCUCGAAUUACCACCUUGCACUCUCUUACUCCUCUCAAUCUUUUGUCUGUUAUCAUAAAUCGGAUUGGAAUAGGUAAGCAUUUCUCUUUGCGGUUUGGGUAGCAAGUACGUUAUGAGGCGAUUUCCCCAUUGGUCUCUUACAACAUUAGGCCAAUUUUGCACGUUAGGAACUUGAUGUCCUGCAAACCAAUCGGUACCCAAGCUCAUAUGACCGUAGGUUAAGGAAAAAACAUCGCACCACACCUCCUCAUGGUAAUCAAAUUGGGAGAAGACAACUUUUACCUUCUCGGUAACCUUGAACUCGCCCAAGUAGUAUAGAAUAAGUAAAGGCUCUCGAAAUAACCCCAAGUAGUCAACCAUGGACGCAAGAAUGUAGUUUCCAUAGUACCUAUCAUUCAACACCAUAAGACAGCCCGGUAUCCCACAAAUAGUCACCUUUUCGGAGUGUACACUCCUCCUUGGAUCAACAUUGUAAGGCACACGAAUACCUAUCGGUUUUGGAGAUGCUUGCCCUCUUCUUCUCAUGGGACAACCUCUACUAUAGCUAAUCUAACCAAUCACACCAUGUCGACCUUGAUAAAAAGUACUACAAGGUGAAGAAUAUGAUCUUUCACACUCCACAUGUAUACUCUCAUCAUAGCUCUCUUAAGUUUUGCGAAUGAAGGGGUUAUACCUAACACCAAAUGUAGGUUCAGAGAGGGAAGUAUAAGACUCCCCAUAUGCCCCAACUUCAUCAUAAGAACCAUCACGAGGUCCUACUUCAUCUCCAAAUUCACCAUAAGCACUAGGCAUAUCAUUCCCCUCAUUUUCUCCCCUAAACCUGAGACCCUCAAAUCUGCCCAAGUUUUGAUCAUGGCUAUUUUCAUAGGCCCCAUAAUCUCCCUCAACUUCGUAGCCAUAAAACCCCUUACUACAAUCAUAGUCUCCCAAGCAAAGAACAAUAUUGGCUUUUCCAAGCCCUAUACUAAGGAUAACUUUUCCAAGCCCUAACUAAGAACUAUACUAAGGUGUUGCACUCUCCAAAGAGAGAAUAAGUCUUUCAAAUGUUCAUCAUUCAUUAACUAAAGAGAAAUGACCUAAAAUAGACUAUAUAUAGUAUAUUAAAAAGAAAGAUAAAAUGACUCCAAUGCCCUUAAUAAGGUGGGUGGCAAUGGAGUGUCAUUUAAACAAGGCUAAAAGACCAAAAUGACCUUGAGUCCUCUAGUCUUCAAGGCUCCAAGCAAUCUUCCACACACGGGUUUGUUUGAUGACAUGCUCAAAAUAACCCUACAAGGAUGAUCCCGUGCCCUCGAUGGGACCAAAGCUUGAUUCUUCAUGUAGUGACUUUGAAUGAUGCCAUCAAAAGCUAAGGCGGUUAUUUCACUUGUAUUAUAGUAAGUCCUAGAAAACCCCUUAAGGAUUUGAUGGAUAUAGGUUUAGGCCAAGUCACCAUGGAAUCCACCUUAGCGGGGUCUGUACAUACCCCUUGUGCAGUGAUAAUAUGGCCCAAAUAUUCUACUUAUGAUAGUCCAAAAGAGCAUUUAGACAAUUUAGUAAAAAGCUACUCCUUUCUCAGUAUUAUAAGGACCUAGGACCUUCUUGAGAUGAAUAGUGUGCUCCAGUAGUGAAGUGUUUUACAUAGUAUGUCAUCGAAAAAUGUGAGCACAAACUUCCUCAGAUGCUCUCUAAACACAUGAUUCAUGGGACUUUGAAAUGUGGCUGGGGCAUUGGUCAACCCAAAAAGCAUGACCUUAAAUUCAUAAUGCCCUAACUCUGUCACAAAACCAGCUUUUGGAAUAUCUAAUCCUAAUAUGGUGGUACCCUGCUCUUAAGUCAGCUUUUGAGAAAAUAGUGGAUCCAUUUAACUUAUUCAUUAGAUCUUUACCAGCGGAAUAGGAAACUUAUCCUUAACAGUGGUCUUGCUAAGCUCUCUAUAGUCAACACAAAACCUCCAACUACCAUUUUUUUUCUUGACUAGCAAUACUGGUGAGCAAAAAGGAGAGUGACUUGGUUGUAUUGUAUCAUGUUUAAGCAUAUCUGCAAUAUGUUUUUCUAUUUCAUUCUUCUAAAAGUAAUUGUACCUGUACGGUCUAAUGUUGAUCGGUGGUGCAUCACUUUUCAGAGGAAUGUGGCGGUCAUGGCUUCUAUAUAGAGGCAAGGACUUGGGUUUUUCAAACACAUCUGGGAACUCAUCAAGCACCUGAUGUCACUUCUCAGGUAUGGCUUCAUUUCCCACAAUAUUAGAUGCAGUAACAGUGAACAGGUGAGCCCAUGUAGCUUGCCCCUUAUUAAGUAAAUGUCUAACUCGACUACCAGUCAUGCUCUUAAGCUCAACUUGGUUAUCCCCCCCCCCCCCCAAGGUUACCCUUUUGUCCUGAUGAGUCACUUCCACCUUAUACUCCACAAAGUCAAAAAGCAUUGGAUUGUGCUUUUUCAUCCAAUCUUCCCCCUCCCAAAAUCACAUCAUUGCCACCCAACCUUACCAACCUGAUUGCAUCAACAAAUUCCAUACCAUGUAUCUUCUACUAAAACACAGGACAGAAAUGUCUACUCAUUAAAUGACUCUCAUUUGCUACUGUAACCCUCAUGGGGGAUGCUUCACUCACUUCGCAACCAAUUUUUCUAGCAGUUUCUAUAUCCAAAAAACUAUGAGUGCUUCCUGAAUCUAGUAAAAUAGUAACUUUAUUCUCUUGUGCAUCUCCUUGUAGCCUAGUAGUAUUAGGCACUUCAGUUCCAGAUAGUGCAUUCAGGCUAAUAGCUUCUUGUAUCUCCUCCUCAGUAACUACCUCGGCAUAUGCUUUCUCAAGUGUAUCCACUAUGUCUGACAAUUUUUGUUAGUUCUCUUCCUCCACUUGAUCGAAGGAAGCAAUGAUAGUAUUCAAUUGAUUCUGCUUGCAUUGAUGAACAAAAUGGUACUCUUCCCCACAUUUGUAGCAUAAUCCCUGAGCCUUCCUCUGUUCCCACAACUUGUUGGCUUGUGAACUAGUAGAAGUAUUCACCCUCCAAGCCUGUUGGGCAUGAACCCCAUCUGAGUUUCUCUACCUCCAGAGAUUCCUUUACCCCCAAUAUGUCUAUCCCUCCUUCGUUGUACCUUCAACAGUCUAUUUUGAUGCCUAGCUUUGUCAAUAAUUUGACUAAAAGAGUAAGGGUUCAACAUUUUAACUGUGUGCCUGAUUUGCUCUUUCAACCCUUCCACAAAGAUGUCACGCCUCAAAUCCUAUUGGGGUGGAUUGGCACCCGUAAUUGAGGAGGUCCGGGAGAACCAGCUCAUAACCUUAUACUUCUCAUGCAUACCUCUAUGACAACCCGAAAUUCGAACAACAUAUUCGGACAACAUCAUGUCGCAUAUAAAAGGAAAUAAUCACCUGUAUAAGCUCGAGCACACAUAUAUAUGUAUAUACAAUACUUGGCCGUUGGAGCUAUCACGUCCAUUAACAAAAUGCCACCUUGACUGUACAUUAGGUCUACAAAGCCUCUAGACAAUACACAGAGUUUAACUAAGGUCGAGACAUACCCCGCCAUAUAACUAACUUCUAUACAAUACCAAAAGUGACUGGAUAUGACACGGAAAGCCCCGAAGCAAACUGGAGCUCACCAAAAGCAGCUGGAUAUCCUGGCUCCUUAUAUAAUACUUGGCCGUCGGGGCCACCACAUAUACAAAUAUAACGUUACUAUAUAAACUUCCAUGACUUUACCCUUCCUUAUGUCUACAAAGCCUCUAGGAUAUACAUGACAUAACUAGGGUCGGGACAAACCCCCGCCCACACGUGACUCAUGUACAAUAACAAAACAUAAGGAACCGACUCGGAAAGCUCCGAAGCAAACUGGAGCUCACCAACAAUAGCUGUAUGACCUGGCUCCUACUUGUGCGGUGUAUGAGUUGAGGUACCUGUGCCUGCAGCAUGAAAUGCAGGUCCCCCGUGAGGGACGUCAGUACGAAAUAUGUACUGAGUAUGUAAAGCUGUAAAUAAUCACAUAUGAUAUAGGAGCUCAAUAGAAAUCAGAAACAAGUGAAUAAGUCGUAAUAGGAGUGGACCACACUUACUAGAACUUGUGACAACCUGUACAUUGUAUUUAUUCAAUCACUUUACCUUCGUUCUUAUCGUCUUUGUAAUCAUUACUGUACUGUACUGUGACCAUUAGGAUGCCUCCAGUACAUAUCAACUGGGAUCGACCCAUGCUAGGCUUAUGCCCCUGGGAUACCACCCAUAAACACAUGAAAUAGGGAUCGACCCAUGCUAGGCUUAUGCCCCUGGGAUACCACCCGAUAAGAGAGAACUUUCAUCACUUAGUUCAAUUAAUCUUUGAGAUUGUUAUUUCGGUCGUCACCACAUUUUUGAUACCUUGAAACAAUGAUACAUCAAUAGGAACCAAGUAAUAGACCUUCUAUACAAUAACGAUGUAAUAAGGACUCAUUGGUACAUCAACAAUAUGUUUCAGAAUCAUCAAUAUCACAACAAUGAAAUAAGAGCCUUUUGGUAUAUCAAUGAACAUUUUGACACUUUAUAGGAUGGAAACAACUUCGUUGGUAACGUAGAACAAUACAUGUUUUUGGACAACCUCGGAAUCUUACUUGAUGGAACAUUGGUGUUUUCAUGCCAAAGAACAUUGUUAGAGUAUGCUUUACAUACCUCGUUGUAGAUUCAGAUACCAAUUCAACACAACUUCCCGCCUUUACAAAUCACUUAUCUACAAUGAAAUGUUUGGCAUCUAGUAUUAGCAACCCAACACCACAAUUCUCUUCCAUAAUUCCAUACUACCAAUAUUUGCAAAACAUUCCAAAAACCAACUUGAACAAUAGGUUUAUGUGUGUAUAUGUAUAUAAUCAUCAUCUCAAUACCACAUCAUCAAUACCACAUCAUCACCCCAAAUUCCUUCACAAUUUAACAUAAUCCAACCAUGCACAAGAAUAAUCCAACAUCAUUUCCAAUCAUCUUUCAACAACAAUCAAAUAACAUACUUCUUAUGCUCACAUGCAUAUAUAUAUAUAUAUACAUAUCCAUAUAAAUAACACCAACAUAAUUUACAUCCUUACCAAAAAAAAUGGCCCUUUUGAUUUCGAAGUCCUGUUGGCACAAAUAAGGGGUGCUUCUCGAAGCCCUUGAGACGGUGAACACAACUACGGAAUCAAUUUGGAUUUUCUACGGUUGAAUCACAAGAUAAUUGGAGUUGAACUUAGGCUAGGGUUUCUUAUUCUUCAAUGAUUUGGAUGAUAAAUGGUGGAUAUAAGGCUAAGUAUAUGUAUAUAAUGACCAAUUUUCGUCCAUGAGGUGAUGGAAAAUGACCAUAUUGCCCUUAAAAAUUUAAGUAAAUCCGAAUCUGUCCAUGGUGGACUGUUUUGAUAGGCUAAAGUAAAUCGGCCAUAACUCUUUGCUCCGAUAUCGGAUUUGGGUGAAAUUGGUAUCGUUAGAAAGAUAAUUCAAAGGUCUUUCAUUUAAUAUAAAUUAAUCCACCCAGUUCGUCCUGUACAAGUAGUUAUGAUCGUUUGAAGUUGACCCUAAAAAUCUGUUUUGAGAGGCUGAAGUAAAACGAGUAUAACUCCUUACUCAGAUGUUGGAUUUGGAUGAAACCAAUUUCAUUGGAAAGAAGACUCAAAGAUCUUUCUUUUGAUAUAUGGUAGCUCAACCAGUUCAUUAUAUUGAGGGAGUUAUGAUCGUUCAAAGUUGACCCAAAAAACUGGCAGGCCUCAGUAGUUUCCUGCACAUUUUACUGUUCACAUCCCGGCCACCGUUUUAAAGUUUCGAACGAGCUCGCUUAUAUCCGAAACUUAUCCGUUUUUGGAAAUCUUUAUAUCGUUGGAAAGCUUAUUCAAUAACCUUCGUAUGGAACCAUCGACGGGAAAAUUCCGAUAUAAAUAAAGUCGAUUCCUAUACACCUAUAAUCAAACUAUACACUUGAAACCAUCUCAAAAUAAUCAAUACUCAUACUUAAACUCAUAUAUACCUAACUUAGGAUCAAUACAUAUACUCCAACACAUAUAACAAUGACUAAUGCACGUAAUUAAGUACGGGGUGUUACAUCCUUCCCCCCUUAAGGACAUUCGUCCUCGAAUGUGAAUGUAGUUAUUUAGCCGAAACAAGUUCAAGUCCACCAUUAACAUUCACAUCAUCACAUAAAUACUAUGCAUAUAUAAACAAAAACUUACUUGUUAAUGUUCUAACUCCGUUUCUUGAACUUCCUCUUCAUCUUUGAACAAAUGAGGGUACUUAGAUUUCAUUGCUUCCUCAGCUUCCCAUGUAAUCUCUUCCCUUUGUUGAUUUCUCCAAAGUACUUUCACCGAUGCUACUUCUUUAUUUCUCAUCUUCUUAACUUGUCGAUCUAAUAUAGCAAUAGGCAUCUCCUCAUAGGUAAGAUCUGCUGUUACUUGCACAUCUUCAGUAGAAGUAAUAAGGGACGGAUCUCCGAUGCACUUUCGAAGCAUCGAUACAUGAAAUACUGGAUGCACUGAUGAUAGUUCCUGGGGUAGAUCUAAUUCAUAAGCAACUUGCCCACAUCUUCGAAUAAUUUUAUACGGGCCUAUAUAUCGUGGACUCAACUUUCCUUUCUUGCCAAAUCUCAUCACCCCUUUCAUUGGCGAUACCUUCAAAAAUACCCAAUCGCCUAACGAAAAUUCUAGCCCUCUUCUUCUACUAUCCGCAUAUGACUUGUGUCGACUUUGGGCUGUUUUCAACCGUUGCUGAAUCACCUUGACUUUUUCUAUGGCUUGAUACACAAGAUCCGGUCCGAACAUAAGAGUUUCACCCGCUUCGAACCAUCCUAUUGGUGAUCUACACUUUCUCCCAUAUAAAGCUUCAUAUGGUGCCAUUUUGAUACUUGAAUGAUAGCUAUUAUUGUAGGCAAACUCAAUAAGAGGUAAAUGAUCAUCCCAGUUGCCCUUAAAAUCUAUUACACAAGCUCGUAGCAUAUCUUCAAGUGUUUGGAUGGUACGUUCUGCUUGUCCAUCUAUUUCAGGGUGAAAAGCUGCACUCAACUUUAUUUGUGUUCCCAAACACCUCUGAAAAUACUUCCAAAAGUUUGCGGUAAAUUGGGUUCCCCGAUCUGAUAUAAUAGAGAUUGGCACUUAGUAAGCCUAUCCACAAUCACCCAUAUAGAAUCAAAUUUUCGAGCUGUACGAGGCAAACCUGUAACAAAAUCCAUGUUGAUCAUGUCCCACUUCCAAAUUGGAAGAUCUAUGCAUUGCAUAUAGCCUCCGGGUUUUUGGUGCUCAACUUUAACUCUUUGACAAUUUGGACAUUCAGCUACAAAUUCUGCAAUGCUCUUCUUCAUGUCAUUCCACCAAUACAUAUCUUUCAAAUCUUGAUACAUUUUGGUUGAUCCUGGAUGAAUGGAAUACCUUGAAAAAUGUGCCUCUGUCAUAAUCUUCUUUCUUAGCCCGUCUAUAUCCGGCACACACAAUCGGUUUUGGCACUGAAGUACUCCUUCUCGCGUAAGCUCAAAUGCCUUGGUCGCACCACUCUGAACGUUCUCCUUAAGAUGUAAUAAAAUAGGAUCUGCAUAUUGCUUCUCUUUCACUUCAGCUACUAAUGAAGAUUCCGCAGCAUUAUGUACGAUAAGCUCUUUAUUCGGAGUUUCAAGAAGGCGAACUCCCAAACUAGCUAACUGGUGAAGAUCUUUAACCAUCCCUUGCCUUUCUAUAGGCGCCAUCAUAGCCUUACGACUUAACGCAUCAGCUACCACAUUUGCUUUCCCUGGAUGGUACAAGAUAUCAACAUCAUAGUCCUUUAAUAGUUCAAGCCAUCUCCGCUGCCUUAAAUUUAGAUCCUUCUGAUUAAAAAUAUAUUGCAAGCUCUUAUGGUCAGUAUAUAUAUCAACAUGAACCCCAUAUAAGUAGUGGCGCCAUAUCUUUAAAGCAAAAAUAACUGCUGCCAACUCAAGAUCGUGUGUAGGAUAAUUUUUCUCAUGUGGCCGCAAUUGUCUAGAAGCAUAUGCUAUUACCUUACCAUGCUGCAUCAAUACACAUCCUAAACCAAUUCUGGAAGCAUCACAAUACACUGUAUACCCUUCGGUGCCUUCUGGUAGUACCAACACGGGUGUAGAAAUCAACUUGUUCUUUAAAUCUUGAAAACUCUUCUCACAGGCAUCAUUCCAUUGGAAUUUGGAUGCUUUAUGGGUUAGCUUGGUUAAGGGUGCUGAAAUGGAAGAAAAGUCUUUGACAAACCUUCUAUAAUAACCGGCCAACCCAAGAAAACUACGAAUCUCCGUAGGCGUUGUGGGCCUUGGCCAGUUCUUCACAGCUUCUAUCUUUUGAGCAUCAACCUUUAUCCCUUCACUAGAUACAAUAUGACCCAAAAAUGCCACCGACUUUAACCAAAACUCACAUUUAGAGAACUUUGCAUAAAGCUUACAAUCACGAAGAGUCUGCAAUGCCUGUCGUAAGUGAUUGGCAUGGUCCUCUUCUGAUCUAGAAUAAACUAGAAUAUCAUCUAUAAAAACUAUCACAAAUACAUCCAGGAAUGGCUUAAAAACCCUAUUCAUCAAAUCCAUAAAAGCUGCGGGUGCAUUUGUUAGCCCAAAUGACAUAACUAGAAACUCAUAAUGACCAUACCUUGUUCGGAAAGCUGUUUUGGGUAUAUCUUUUUCUUUGACCCUCACUUGGUGGUAACCUGACCUCAAAUCAAUCUUAGAAAAGCACUUGGCGCCCUGUGACUGAUCAAAUAAAUCAUCAAUUCUUGGGAGAGGAUAUUUAUUCUUAAUAGUCACCUUAUUCAAUUGCCGAUAAUCAAUAUACAUCCUCAGCGAGCCAUCUUUUUUGCGCACAAAUAACACUGGUGCUCCUCAGGGGGACAUACUAGGCCUUAUGAAUCCCUUCUCUGGCAAAUCUUUUAAUUGUUCUUUCAAUUAUCGUAAUUCUGCUGGGGCCAUUCUAUACGGAGGANNNNNNNNNNNNNNNNNNNNNNNNNNNNNNNNNNNNNNNNNNNNNNNNNNNNNNNNNNNNNNNNNNNNNNNNNNNNNNNNNNNNNNNNNNNNNNNNNNNNNNNNNNNNNNNNNNNNNNNNNNNNNNNNNNNNNNNNNNNNNNNNNNNNNNNNNNNNNNNNNNNNNNNNNNNNNNNNNNNNNNNNNNNNNNNNNNNNNNNNNNNNNNNNNNNNNNNNNNNNNNNNNNNNNNNNNNNNNNNNNNNNNNNNNNNNNNNNNNNNNNNNNNNNNNNNNNNNNNNNNNNNNNNNNNNNNNNNNNNNNNNNNNNNNNNNNNNNNNNNNNNNNNNNNNNNNNNNNNNNNNNNNNNNNNNNNNNNNNNNNNNNNNNNNNNNNNNNNNNNNNNNNNNNNNNNNNNNNNNNNNNNNNNNNNNNNNNNNNNNNNNNNNNNNNNNNNNNNNNNNNNNNNNNNNNNNNNNNNNNNNNNNNNNNNNNNNNNNNNNNNNNNNNNNNNNNNNNNNNNNNNNNNNNNNNNNNNNNNNNNNNNNNNNNNNNNNNNNNNNNNNNNNNNNNNNNNNNNNNNNNNNNNNNNNNNNNNNNNNNNNNNNNNNNNNNNNNNNNNNNNNNNNNNNNNNNNNNNNNNNNNNNNNNNNNNNNNNNNNNNNNNNNNNNNNNNNNNNNNNNNNNNNNNNNNNNNNNNNNNNNNNNNNNNNNNNNNNNNNNNNNNNNNNNNNNNNNNNNNNNNNNNNNNNNNNNNNNNNNNNNNNNNNNNNNNNNNNNNNNNNNNNNNNNNNNNNNNNNNNNNNNNNNNNNNNNNNNNNNNNNNNNNNNNNNNNNNNNNNNNNNNNNNNNNNNNNNNNNNNNNNNNNNNNNNNNNNNNNNNNNNNNNNNNNNNNNNNNNNNNNNNNNNNNNNNNNNNNNNNNNNNNNNNNNNNNNNNNNNNNNNNNNNNNNNNNNNNNNNNNNNNNNNNNNNNNNNNNNNNNNNNNNNNNNNNNNNNNNNNNNNNNNNNNNNNNNNNNNNNAUUUUUUCGUAGGUAAUUUUUUAACUUUAAAUCUAAUUCUAAUUUCUUUUCUCCAUGUUAGUCAAAGAAUCAUUUUCAAAUAGUCCGUAUAACCAUAAGUUAGCAGAUACUCUUGGUGCCUUAACAUCCUUCCAAGAGUAUUAAUAGGAACCGCUUACUCAGAAACUUCAAACUUAAAUGAUUUUUUUGUUUUGGAUCGUUCAAGUAAUUUCAAAGUUUUUCUUGAUUUUCCUAAAUAAAUUAAGCGGUGACUCUAUUGUCGAGUUAAAAAAAUUUUCUUUGAAAGUAUUUGAACUUGUGAAAAAUCUAAAAGUCAUUUCUCUGCAAAACAGAAAUAGUGACUCUGCCAGGGACUUUAACUAGGUUCCAACCAAAUAUUUGAAUUAGCUUCUGUGACUAAUGGUUGUAAUGUUUAUACCGUUUAUGUGCCUAUGUGUUUAAAGUUUGCUAAAUUAAAUUGUUGCAUUUCUUUGAAUACUUACCAUUUGAGAUAUAUAAAAUGUUUGGGGUUCCGUGGAUAUCCCGGCCCCUAUUGUUCAAUUCCAAAUGAAGUGCUGGAAAUACAAUGGUUUAUUAGCAUGUUAGGCUUCUGAUGGUUGUUCAUAUUCCCAAACCCAAGUCGUCUACUUGGGAACCUGGUCCAAACCCUCUCUAGACACUUAGGAUAGAGCAAAACCAAAAUCUUUUCUUAGGCAUGAGCCUAGGAUAACCCAAUACCCGAGAGGUAUUAGGCUUAUUAGAAAAGCUACCCCUCAUUUAUUGGCGAUGAGUCAAUUAAUGAUGAAUCAUACUUAUUUGUUAAAGAAAUAUAUGUUAUUUAUUCUAAUCCAUCAUCAUUUGGGGUAGGUGAAGUCUUACUUUUUUUCUUUCAUGUGAGGAUGCCUCAAUCAUACACCAAUUUAGAGAAGAAUUGAAGCGAUUCAAGCAAGAGGUUGUUGAUGCUAGGUGGUGUUUGAUCAAUUUGUGUGAUCUUAUGAUUGUCUAGAUUAAUGACCUAUGAGUUUAGAUAACAAUUAUACAGAAAUCACUUGAUCAUCAACAGAUGUCGAAUAUGACAAGAAGUGGACAACGCUAAUAGGACGAAGGCCAAUAGAAUAGAAUUUAGGAGCUAGUAUUUCCUAUCCACUACGCGGGACAUUGUUAUUUUUCUCAUGUUAUUACCCUUUCCCUAAAGAUUGUAUCCCUUUUGUGCAAAUUUUGUAAACAUCUAUGCCUUUUUUAACUAUGGAGUUUUUUUGGGAUAAUGGAUUGGUUUUAAAAAGCGUAUAACUCAUUCAAAUACGUUAGGCUAACCCUUGGCUCAAAAUGGUCACCUAAUUAGGAUGCCCUUUAUUACAAUAUGGUUGUGUGAUACAUCUAUCUUAUGUGUUUAUACGUGUUAUAUUUAUUCAAAUCAAAGGUAAAUUGAUCCAAUCCCAUUUUUUUAAGAGCACCUUUAAGCAGAAAUAUAUCACACAAUACAAAAGUCCAACCAAGCAUACUCCAAGUCUCCCAAGUCUCUCAAAAAAGUCCUCAAUCAUUCUUAAAACAUCCUAAAUUUUUGUUACCAUUCUAGGGAGGUUGACUUUAGACUCAGAAAAAGCCAUUAAGGAAGGACUGAAAAGAGCAAUAGGUGAAUUGCUUAAAGACGAUUGGUGACUUUAGACCAAAAAGAAGAUAUGCUAAAGGCAGAAAAUAAGAAAAUGCCUAAGAAAAAUGUUGACCAAAAGAAAGAUCACCAAAGUCAACCAAUUGAUUAAGUUCAAACUACUUAGGGACUAAUUUCUCCUUCGUGAGAUAUGUAGGUAGCCUUUUGGAUCAGCCUCUAUCUGCAAAAACUCUAUUGUCCUCCACGUUAUUAAAAAAAGAAAUAAGAUUGGAAAUAAGAAAAAUUAAACUUUAAUGAUAAAUUUCACUUAUCUGUAUCAUUGACAAAAAUCCCAUUCAUUGAAAUUCUUGAGUCAUCAUUACUCUACGGAUCAAUUAGCAUGAGAUAAGAAACAACUUUAUGUACUUACUUUCUGCCUUAUCAUCUUGCUUUGCUUAUUACUAACAGAAUCUAACACAUCAACCUUUGAGUUAUUUUUACAUUGCAGGUAUUAGAAACUACUAUGUGUUGGCAUAAAAUGACCCUACUAUAUUAUAUCAAAGUGAAUAAAGAUUCCUCUCUUGACUAUAGCUUUGUUACAGGAAAGGAAAAAUGAUUUGUAGUAAAUUUUGACUCUACCAGUCAUUUUCUCAAAACCUAAAGUAAUGGUCUAAAGGAUGGAAUAGGUAAGAAUGUAAUGCUACCAUUGAAGAAUUUUCCAAGACAACCGGGACCAUGGAAGAUAAAUUGUAGGAAACAUUGUUGAAUUGGACCUCCAUUGCACUCAUGACUCAUUAGCCAUUGGGUAAUAAUAUUUAAAACCUACCGAUGUCAUGUCGUGUCAAGGGAUAAAUGAACAAAGCAAGAUGAAUGAUGAUGAAUGUAAAGACCAUGAUAAGGAGCCGUUAGUGGAAGACAUAGUAGAAAUUGAAAAUGGAGAGAAGACCAACCUGGAAAAAGCUGAAAUAGUCAACUUGGGAAACCGCGAUGAAGUUAAGGAGAUAAGUGUUAGUGCUUACUUAAUAGAGGCCCAAAAAAGAUGACCCAUCCACUUUCUAUGGGAGUAUAUUGAUACCUUUACUUGGUCCUAUGAGCAUAUGCCGGGCUUAUGCACCAAUAUUGUGUCACAUAAGUUAUCGAUCAAUCCCAAGUUUGAUCUUGUAAAGCCAAAAAAAGUGUGGAAAUUAAAGCCAUACUUAUGCUUGAAGAUCAAAGAGGAAGUGAUGAAGAAAAUUCAAUCUAAGGUUAUGGAGGUCACAAGAAAUCCAACAUGGCUAGCCAAUACUAUUCCAGUACUAAAAAAGGAUAACAAGAUUAGAAUUUGUGUUAACUACAGUGAUUUGAAUAAAGCUAGUCCUAAGGAUAAUUUCUUGCUACCCAAUAUUCUCACCCUCAUCAAUAAAUGUAUGAAGCCCCAAGGAUACCAAAUGAGUUUGUUGGUACUUUGGCUACUAUAUCCUCCAAGACUCAACACCAAGAUUAGAGUUACAUUGAUCUUUUGGAAAAAAGAUUGAGGGAACAACCACCACAUUGUGCGUAUGUCAAAAAGGAACCUGAUGGAAAACCAUGGUACAUUGAUAUUAAAAGGUAUCUAGAAUUUGGAACUUAUCCUAAAGGGGCCAGUAAUAAUCAGAAAAUGACAAUCUGGCAAUUAGAAAAGAAUUAUUUUCCAAAUAGGGAAAUUAUUGUAAGGAGGACUCCAGGCUUAGGAUUUCUAAUAUGUGUUGUUUCCAUGGAAGCCACAAAAAAAACUAUAUGUCGGAAUCUAUGGGCCCCAUAUUAAUGAAAGUUCCCAAAAUGCCAAAUACAUGGAAAUUUGAUUUGGAUGCAUCUACAUGAGCUUUAUGCGAUGAGUUCAUCUUAGACUUUCAUAGCUUGGGGUAUGGAUGUUAUCACACCAAUAAAGCCACCACCGUUAAAUGGGCAUAGAUUCAUUUUGAUUGUUAUUCAUUACUUCACCAAGUGGGUGAAAGCUGCCUCAUAUUGAGUCAAAACCAAGAAGGUAGCCACAGAUUUUGUCAAGAACAAAUUGAUUUGCCUAUUUGGAGUGCCGAAGUCAAUCAUUACUAAUAAUGGGGCUAACUUGAAUAGUCACUUGAUGAAUGUGAUUUGUGAUCAACUCAAGAUUGUUCAUCACAACUCGACUGCAUAUUAUCCACAAAAGAAUGGAGUUGUUGAAGUCGUUAAUAAGAAUAUCAAUAAGAUUUGAAGAAAAUGGUCAAAAUGAUAGAUCAUGGAACGAGAUCUUUCGCUACAUUUUACUAAGGUAUCACACAAUAGUUCUAUCCUCAAUUGGAGUAACUCCUUAUAUACUUGUUUAUGAAAAUAAAGUUCUGAUACCUGCCGAGGUUGAAAUACCUUUCUUCAGGAUUAUUCAAGAAGUUAGAUUAAGCAAUGAAGAAUAGGUUCAUGCUCUCUAUGAACAACCCAUGAUAAUUGAUGGAAAGAGAAUGGUUGUCGUGUGUCAUGGCUAGCUCUAACAACACAAGAUGACCCAUUGCUUUAACAAGAAAGUAAGAACUCGAACAUUUAAAGUUGAGAAAUUUGUUCUCUAAUACAUAUUCCCUCACCAAGAAGAGUACUAAGAAAAGUUUGCUCCGAAUUGGAAAGGGCGAUAUAUAGUUCGAAAGGUGCUAUCUGGAGGAGCCCUGAUCCUAUCUGUGAUGGAUGGUCAAGAGUAGGCCAAACCAAUCAAUUUUGAUGCAGUAAAGAGACACUAUGCUUAAAGAUUGUCUUUCACUUUUGUUUCCUUUAUUUAUUUGUAAUCACUUCUCUGAAGGUAUUUGUUUUUAUGAUACAAAAUUACCUAAAUUCCCUUUCAUUUUAUGUACAAACUACGUUUGACCUGAAUUCCCAAAAAAGGGAUACGUAGGUGUCCUAUGUCAAUUUUGGUCAACCACUUAGGAGAAUUUAUCCUAUUUUUUAUGUAUGAACUACAUAGUGACCUGAAUUCCCAAGAAAGGGAUACGUAGGCGGACUAUGUCAUCUUCGGCCAACCCAUUAAAUUUUCUAUAUAUCCUUAGCAUAGUCCUGAACUACAUUUGUCCUGGUUCCUUCUUCAACAGGAUACGUAGGCGCCGUAACGACUUGGUCAUAUAAAUCUAGGAAAUGGAAACUGGGGUAGAAUUUUUGAGAAGGAAUCUCAAAAAUUCAUGAGAGGAAGAUCAUUAACAAACAAAGAGAACGAAGACCAACAAGGACUUUACAUCCUCUCGAGCUGAGAUCAUCUAAAAAAAAUUAAAUUGGGGAAGAAAUUUUGAGGAGGGCAUCAAAAUUUUCACCAAACACUGGAAUAUAUUUCAAAUCCCCCAGCACCAGAGGUAAAAGAAAGUUUUGGGUAUCACUAGAUGCGACCAAGUCUAGGUAUACUAAAUCUUCGGCUAAGAAAAAACUUUUUAUAGAAACCCUUAGCGAUGAUGAUGAAUCCUUUGAAUUCCUCCAUCAAACUUCGGAUACAUUAAGAACCAAGAGAAAGAUUUUUGUUGAGCUGCUACAUGACAUGACUGGCAUAGAUUUUCUAAAGCCUUUAUAGAAGUUUUGAAACUAGUUUUUAAAAUUAAGACUACUUUUGAAAAUCUAUAAAAAUAUUUUUUUCUUAGUGAUUGCCUCGGUAUCUCUUGGAAUGGGGAGCCAGGGUGGAAGUCCCAACAUGACGGUGUACCCAAAAGAUGGCGAGGAGCAAACCAAGAAUCGAAGGAGGUCAACACUGAGUAGUUACACUAAAAACUAAUCAUUUUUCUAUGGAUACAGGGAUCAAUACACAAAAAUGAGAAUCUUUUUUAAAAAUCCCCAAUUAACUUUAGAGCCACACCAAAGCAUCUAAUGCUCAAGAACGGUAUUCUUGGGCCCAAAGAUGGGUUUAAUACCUAUUUAUUGAGGAUUAUUUGAAUUGUCUAUAUCAUUUUUGAGACCAUGAAUGACCAUCAAAGGUUCCUUAUCUUCUUUAUAAAUAUUGUAUUUGGAUUUUUUAUAAAAAAUAGUCGCUAGCAAAAGUGACUUUGUGUCCACUAAAUAUUUAACUUGAGUAUAGGCACGGUUAAAGAAGGCGGUCCUACAAGACCACAAUCAAAGGAUUGCUCAAGAGAAAGAAGAGAAAAAAUGUUAUCCUCAAAUUUAGCAUGAGGCGACGCAAAUGGUACAUAAUGAAAGAAAAAAAUGCAAACAAAUGGACUUAGGUGAAGCUAUUUUCAUUGCCAAGAGGGCCAUUUCAUUUUAUUUUAUCUCUGAGAGGGCUAGUUUAUUUUAUUUCAUUUUCAAGAGGGCAAUUGCAUCUUAUUUCAUUUCCAAGAGGGCAAUUGGAUAUCAUUUUAUUACAAAGAGGACAACUAUAUUUCAUUUCAUUACCAAGAGGGCCAUUGUAUCUCAUCUCAUUGCCAAGAGAGACAUUGCAUUUUAUAUCAUCUCCAAGAGGGAUAUUUUAUCUCAGAUCAUUUUUAAGAGGGCCAUUGCCUAUCAUUUUAUUGCCAAGAGGGCCAUUUUAUCUCAUUUCAUUGCCAAGAGGGCCAUUUAAUCUCAUUUUACUACUAAGAGGGAUAUUAGAUAUCAUUUCAUUUCCAAGAAGGACAUUUUAUCUCAUUUCAUUGCUAAGAGAGACAUUGCAUCUUAUUUCAUUUUCGAAAGGGCCAUUGCAUGUCAUUUUAUUUCCAAAAGGGACUUUUUAUCUUAUUUCAUUGACAAAAGGGACAUUGCAUCUUAUUUCAUCACCAAGAGGGCCAUUUCAUAUCAUUUUAUUUCCAAAAAGGAUAUUACAUACCAUUUCAUUACCAAGAGGGCAAUUUUAUCUCAUUUUAUUGCCAAGAGGACAUUGCAUCUCAUUUCAUUGCCAAGAGGGCCAUUGCAUUUCAUAUCAUUGCUAAGAAGGCCAUUUGAUCUUAUUUUAUUUCCAAGAGGGCCAUUGCAUCUCAUUUUAUUUUCAAGAGAGCCAUUGCAUUUUAUGUCAUUGUGGAGUGGGCCAUUUUAUCUCAUUUCAUAGCCAAGAGGGUCAUUGUAUCUCAUUUCAUUACCAAGAUGAUAUUGUAUUUCAUAUUUUCACCGAAAGUGCCAUUUCAUCUCAUUUCAUUACCAAAGAGGGACAUUUCAUAUCAUUUUAUUAACAAGAGGGCCACUUUAUCUCAUUUCAUUACCAAGAGGGAUAUUACAUCUUAUUUUAUUGCCAAGAGGGCCAUUUUAUCUCAUUUAAUUUCCAAGAGGCCUAUUGCAUAUUAUUUUAUUGCCAAUAGGGCCAUUUCAUCUUAUUUCAUUGCCAAAAGAGCCAUUGCAUAUCAUUUUAUUGCCAAUAGGGUCAUUUGAUCUUAUUUCAUUGCUAAUGGGGCCAUUGCAUCUUAUUUUAUUACCAAGAGGUCCACUGCAUUUCAUAUUAUCUCUAAGAGGGCCAUUUUAUCUCAUUUUAUUUCCAAGAGGUCCGUUGCAUCUUAUUUCAUUGCAAAGAGGGCCGUUGCAUAUUAUUUAAUUUCUAAGAGGGCCAUUACAUUAAAUAUCUAUUGACACGCAAUAUAGAAAAUAUUGCCGUCAAGGAUAUCUCAGCAUAUAAUAUUCGUUGACACACGAGAUAGAAUACACCGGCAUCGAGGAUAUCUCAACAUUUAAUAUCCAUUGACAUGCGAGAUAUAAUAUAGUGGUAUGGAGGAUACCUCAAUAUUUAAUACUCAUUGAUACAUGAGAUAGAAUAUGUAAGAGUCGAGGAUAUCUUAACAUUUAAUAUUUGUGACAUGCAAGAUAGAAUACAUUGGCGUCGACGAUAUCUCAGCAUUUAAUAUCUAUUGACAUGCAAGAUAAAAUACACUGGCAUCGAGGAUACCUCAUCAUUUAAUAUCUGUUGACAUGCAAAGAUAAAAUAAUUUGGUGUCAAGCUCUCAUCAUGAAUCAACAUCUGAAUGUAUCAAGAACAUGUGAUUCGAAGGGAUAUCUUUAAGUCAUUAUCUGAAGAUGGAUGGCAUAAGAGAUUUCCUAGAAAUUGACAAUUUGAGGGUCAUCUAUAAGUCAUAUUAUUUGAAAUAGGAUAGUGUGCAAUAUUGCAAAUGAUUUGAUAUCCCAUAGGUCAUCCAUAAGACUCAUCAACAUCCUAACCAGAUAUGGUUAACCAAAAAUCGAUAGUCUAAAGGUUAUUCAUAAGCGCAACUAUAUCCUUACCGAAGAAUAUGCAAGAGCAUCAAAUUAAUAUUUCCAAGGGUUUUCUAUAAGUCAUGUCAUAUCCAAGAUUGAUUAUGCACUUGAUUACCCAAAGACUAGAAUUUUGAUAGAUAUCUAUAAGUCACAUUGUAUCCAAGGUUGGAUGAUGUGCGGGAAUACCUGAGAACUAGCAAUUAGAGGGAUAUCUAUAAGCCAUAUCUUAUCCUAGGUCGGAUAACAUACAAGAUUACCUAAAGGCUAACAAUUCAAAGGAUAUCUGUAAGUUUCCUCGUAUCCAACAUCACAUAAUGCACAAGAUUAUCCAAAGAUUAAAAAUUCAAGGAAAAUCAAUAAGUCGUAUCGAUAUAAAAGAUACAUAAAAUUUACCCGAGGUCACACGCAAAGAAUCAUUCUCAAUAACCAGAGAGGUUAUCAUUACACAUAUAACAAGAAUUAUAGGGGACUAAAAAGGUUUCCACAUCAGUAUAAGAUUACACUGUUGCAGGGACCAUUCUGCAUAAAGUGUCGUCGGUGUCCAAAAGGGUCAGCCCACUUUGUAGAGAUAUUCUAUCAACAAAUGAGAUAAUUAUGCAACAACCAAGAGAGUUGUUGUGUUUGUUAUUGCAAGUUACUUCCUUCCAAGUAGGUAUAUAAGAGGAUGACUUCACUUUCAUGGCAACAACUCACGUGGAGAUAUAGUAAAAGACUAUAUACCCCUUUCGUGAAUUAUGUUUAGCACUAAUAAUUUUUGUUUGAGACAUUAUCGAGAGCAUAUGAGAGGAUAAAAUCUCAAAUAAAAAUCACAUUUGCGGACGACUCCAGAUAGGACACAACACAACAUUAAACUCUUUCUUAGUAGCAAAGUGAGACAUAGUCUAGAGAGAAACGUCAAACACUUUGGACUCGAGCUAAAGGAUGAUCCCACCUCCAUCAAACCAUACUCCUAUUAAAAGGAAUGUGGGUAUUUUGGGAUAUUCUAGUUUCAUAUUUACCAUAGAAAUAUUUCUAAACUCAUGCUAAAGGUAACUUUCUCUUUCUUUCAAAUUUAAGUGAGAACAUAUUUAGAGUUUUGAAAACUAUGUCCAGGUAAGUUCUUUCCUAUAGAUGUGAAGAAUUCCACAUUCAUAGUUAGGAGCUUACAAUCCCUUUUUCAAUAAUUCAAUCAACUUGUCACUCCUCCCGAGCUAAAGAUCAUCUGAAAUGAAAGACUAUCUUUUAUAUCAAUUGAGUCAAACUACAUGCAGUCUGAUUCCCUGAGUCUCGGGGAUAUGUAGGUUGGUCUCCAUGUUAAAAAAUCGAUUGCAUUUCAACCUCCCCCACAGUCCUCUUAUUCCUCAACUUUUUGGUUUUACCAAAAUUUGAAAAUUGGAAUAGCUCGUGAAUUCCUUGAAAAUAGUGCUUCCAAGAUUUAUGAAUUAUAAGUGGCCUGAAUUCUCAUGACCCCUGAGAUAUAUAGCAAACCCGAUACCGGGGUUCAACCAUAACUCCACGAAAGUUAUGUGAAAGUAAACCUCUCUCAAAAAUGUAUUUGUGGUCGGACAAAAAUUAGAAACGUCAAACUUCCUUUGCCCAGGGUUACUUUUAUCCACACUACUCAAAGAGAGGGGACAGUUGUUGACACCUAAUUUUCACCCUCUACAACUAAGUUUAGUCUCAAUUUUCUUCGAUUUUCAAAUAAAUUACAAUACUUAUUUUAUCCGUAUAAAAAUCUUUUAAAAGUAUUUAUUUGAGUAAUUUUCCAUUUUAGGUAGUGAUUAUAUAUCAUCAAAAUUAUAUAAUUUUGUUACUUAAAUAUUUAUUUUAUGAAAUAUCAGACUUUAAUCAAAGCUUAUCUUGAGAAUUUAUUCAAAUGGGUAAAAUCUUGAUUUAAAUAUGAUUUGUUCUCGAAAAUAUAUUUUUUGGAGAAAUAUUUAUUUAAUUUUAUCUAAAAAAAAAAGUUUAGGAUUAAUGAAGUAUUAAUUUGUAUUGAAUUUUAAUUUAAUUUAGCCAAUCAAUUAGAUUUGACCAUAAUUGAAAUCAAAUUUUCUGUAAUUGCAAUACAAUCCGCCAAUUGAUUUUCAAUUUGGUUAAAAUUAAAUAAAAUUGACUAAAUUUUAAAUAAAAAUCCCAAAAAAUGACCUAAAUCUACCCAACCUUAUCGUUUUUCCAUUUUUAAAUUUCAAAUUUGUACUAGAUUGUACAAUUCUACCUCAACGUUGUCUUGUUUUCCAUUUGAUUUUCCAAAUUUAUACUAGAUUGUACCAUUCCAACUCAACCUUAUUCUUUUUUUAUUUUUUAAAAUUAAAAAUUUGUACUAGAUUGUACAAUUCCCUCUCAACCUUGUUCUUUUUCAAUUUUUGUAAUUCAAUUUUUGAUUUUUUCAAAUUUGUACUAGAUUGUACAAUUUCCUCUCAACCUUGUCCUUUUUUAAUUUUUGAAAUUCAAAAUUUGUACUAAAUUGUACAAUUAAACCUCAUCUUAUCUUCCAACAAACCUUUUCCUUAAUUUGUAAAUUCCCAAAACACAUCUAAUUUCUUUCUCUCUCAUUGGUGGAUGAAAAUAAUUGAAUUCUCAUCCUUUCCUGUAAAUACUACCACUAUUUUGGUAGAAAGACCAAGUCCAAAAGAAUGAAAAAAUCUUUUGAGCAUAAAGUUAAAUUUUAUUUUAGUAAAAAUUUUAAAGCGGUAGUCUAAUCUGGAUUCUUGGAAUAUUGCUUUUCGAUGUUGAUCAAGACUCUAAAAAAAGCUUAAAGUCCAAUUUCGCUACUCCGAAAAAGGUAAACACGCCUUUCCCUUUUUAGUUUGGUUAUUAUUUUCUUCUUCAUCUCUUUCUUUGUACUUUGUACUUGUAAUUUUAUUUGAUGGGAUUGUUUGCUGUAGACAACCUUGAAGGCCAUAGGAUGUCAUGGUAUCAAUAUUAUGACUAUUUUUAUGUUCAUGGUAUAAAAAUGAGUUAACAAUAUUUGAACGUAUUUCUUUGACCUUAUUCUUUAAUUAUUAUGGAUAAAGUUUCGAUCUUUGCUUAAAACGCGUACUCAUGCCUUUUUUAAAUUUAUUGUUGGCGGAUAUGUUUGAUUUUAGUAUAUAAAGUUUUCUCUUCUAUGUCGAAAAGAGUAGUUAAUAUUUAUUUUUUCGCCUUUUGUCCUUAUUCCUUGAUUAUUAUGGAUAAAGUUUCAAUCUUUGCUUAAAAACGUAUUCAUGCCUUGUUUAAAUUCAUUGUUGGCGGAUAUGUUUGUUUUUAGCAUACAAAGUUGUUUCCUUUAUGUUGAAAAGAAUAGUUAGUAUUGAUUGUUUCUCCUUUUGGCUUUAUUUAUUGAUUAUUCUGGAUAAAGUUUUGAUCUUUGCUUAAAAGACGUACUCAUGCCUUGUUUGAAUCCAUCAUUGGCGGAUAUAUUUGUUUUUAGCAUGUAAAGUUGUUUUCUUUAUGAUGAAAAAUAGUUAAUAUUAGUUGUUUCGUCCUUUUAAAAUUUGAUGGAUAAAUUUUGAUCUUUUCUUGAUUAAAAUGGAUGCUCAUGCUUUGUUUAAAUUUGUUAUUGGUGGAUAUGUUUGCUUUAAGUAUAUAAAGUUGUUUCCUUUAUGUUGAAAAUGAAUGGCUACUACUGUUAAGGUUUUUGAAAUUAUUUCUCAAUUUGAAGUAGUGAGUUACCCAUAUCUCUAAAUUUCGUGUUAUUUGUGAAAGGCAUAUGAUGGCACGUUAUGUUUGUGGCCUAGCAAUUUGCAAAAUUACCACUUAUGCUUGAGAGUACUAUUUUACCAUCUCAUCAUUUAUCUAUUAUGUGUAGAAUUUUUGAACACUUAUUAAUUCUUUUUAUUUUUCUUUUUCUCUGCAUGAAUCUGUUUUGGGCUCCAAAUGGACUCCUUUACUAUUUUAUUUCAUAAUGAGCUAAUGAGGAGAACCUCUUUGAGUCAAGUCCAAAGUUUAAAACUAAGUUCGACUAUUUGGCGUGUGGGAGCAAGAAGAUGGAAGAAGUAAGUAAAUAGGGAAAAACCCAUUGAAGAGGUCGCUAAGAGACUUGAAAAGUCUUAAUAUUUAAUAUUAUGUUAUUCUUUGUUUGUUUAUUUAUCUAUCCAUUUGUUCAUUCAUUUAGGCCUUGAAGACAAAGUUGUAAAUUAAUACAGGUGAAGGAGGUUGUAAGCCAAUAUCUUAAAGAUCUAGAUUUGGACAGGUGAGGACGGGCUAAAAUCCCAAAUGAAUAGUUCUGGCUAGGUGCAGGUGGGACAAAAGCCCAAUUAGAUUAGGACAGGGAUUUGGUCUUAUGAGCCUAAGUUUUAUAAUUUUCCCCUUUUCCUUUUUGUGCUAUUUGAUUUUAGCUUUCUUAGAACUAGUUAAAUUCCUCACUAGGUUACCACAAAAAUUAAUUUUGUGCAAAUGUUUUCAUAAUCAAUUUCUUUCCAAAAAUUAAUUUCUUUUCUCCAAGUUAGUCAAAGAAUCAUUUUGAAAUAGUCUGGAUAACCACAAGUUUAAAGACACUCUUGGUGCCUUAACAACUCUCCAAGAGUAUUAAUAGGAACCACUUACUCAGAAUCUUCAAAAUUAAAUUAUUUCUCUUUUUUGGAUCAUUGAAGUAAUUUCAAUGGUUUUCUUGAUUCCCUAAAUAAAUUAAGUGGCAACUCUAUUUUCGAGUUUAAAAAUAUUUUUGAAAGUAUUUGAACUUGUGAAAAACUCAAAAGUCAUUUCUCUGCAAAAUAUUGAACGCGGGAAAUUUACAGAGUUGAGAAUCUAGGGGGAACACAAGCCUUGUGUUCAUCUUCUAUUGUUUACAACUGAAAAACAUUCAAGAUUUUGUUACUAGUUAAUGAUAAAUCUAAAUCCCCCAAUUUACUUUCUACACUGCUCGUGUGUUGCAUCAAGUUAAGCUACUGUUCAACAUUUUUCCUAUGGGUUCGACCCUAACCUAAUGGGGUUACUAUAUUUGGCAUCGACCGCAACAAACAUUUUUUGAAGAUUAGUUUUGGGUGACAUCAAAUUUUAGCACCGUUGCUGAGGAAGAUGGUUUGAGUAGUUAAUUGAAUUGGUGAACUUCACGGGUUUUAUUUUUUAUUUUUUAUUUGGCAUACAACAGUGUAUGUUAAACUCUAGAAGAAGAGGCAAUCCCUUACUCCCUUUUGAUCUAGAGCUAGAGUGAAUUCUUCAAACACCAAGAAAAAUGUCAGGAAAAGUUCGUGAUGGGGUUUAAGAACCUCCACCCAUGGAUCCAAAUUUGGUACUCCUGUAUGAACCAAUUGAUCCAUACAAUAUUGCAGAUUUACAAAUACAACAACUAAUAGCUGCAGCUGAGGAAGAGAGAAGAGCAAUCAAAGAGGCUUGAUUAAUUGAAGAGGCUGGGUUAGCUCAACAAGGAGGACUAGUUAGCCUAUAUACACUAAGCAACAAAAGAGUGUUCAGAGAGGUAGAGCUCCAUUGAUUCCUAUAUUUCAAUAUUUAAACCCAUACAAUGAUGAAAAAGAUAUGGGUUAUGUUAAACCUACUGAUACAUUGGCCAUCAUUCCUCCGGCAUUACCCCCUAAUGUGAAGUUUGAUGUUACAAGCGCUAUGAUCCAAUUGUUGAACUUGAAGGGUGUAUUUUCGGGAUCAAUGAUUGAUGAUGCAAACAUACAUCUUGCUAAUUUUACUGGGAUCUACUCAUCAUUUACUAACCUGGGGGUGGAUCAGGAAGCUUUGAGAUUGAGGUUGUUCCUAUUUUCAUUGACUGGCAAAGCAUCACUAUGGUUGGGGGAACUUUCAAGAGGUUAAAUCACUACUUGGCAUGAGUUACGUAAAUAAUUUAUGAACAAUUUUUUUCCUUCUACAAGGAUGCUACAGUUUAAAGAUGAGAUUUAUAAUUUUGGACAAUUACCUACAAAAUCCUAUAUGAGGAAUGGUUUAGAUUCAAGAAGAAGCUGAGCAUGGUACAAAAUCACAAAACCAGAGGGUCGAAUUUGUUGGAAAUCUUAUACAGAUCACUUAAUGUCAGUUCGAGAGAAAUGGCAAAUAUAAUUUCAGGAGGUGCAUUCAUGCGUCUUCGAUGUGAUACUACCUAGGAUAUAAUGGAUGAUAGUUUAAUGAAUAAUAGAGGUUGGUAUCUGUUAUGCCCAAGCAACACGCAAGUGCACGUGGUAUUACCAAGUAAUAUAAUGGACUUAAAUAAAGCCGAAUAUCAAUACCUUAGAGACUUGUAUCAACAAAUAUCUAAUUCAAGUUCAACUAUUGCGAUUAAAGUGGUGCAUUGUAACCAAAAGAGUUUUGAAAGUUUGUAAACUAAAAGUAAAGUAAAAUAAUUUUCAGAAAAGUAAAGACUGUGGAGAAUGGAUGAAAACCCAAGGUAAGACAAUGUGAAAAAUCAUACUAUGCUAAUGAACUUCAUUUGUAAGAUAACUUAUUUUGGUUGUUAAUUCGUAUAGUUUAUCGAAUGAUCAGGGUCUCCCGACCUCUAACCUUUUACAUAGCUAGACAUUACAACUAUAUAACAAAGCAGAGAUGAAAUAAUACAUUUAGAUUAAUUUAUAUAUCAUCCUACAUAUGAACCAAGAAAGUCUUAUAGUUAUAUCCCUAUCCUAGAUACUAAUUCAAAUUCCUUAUUUCAUAAAAGAAUAAGAACCUUAUUCUAUUCAUCCCCACGUUCUAUCUUCUAUUCCUCUCCCGAGUUCACAAGGUCAAUAAUAUAUGCAUUCUAAGGGUUGAAAAUGCUUUAAAUAGUGAUAAAAAGGAUAAAAAACAACCAAAUAUGAUAAUUUAUACAAGAAAACUCAAUUCAAAUAUAAAGUAAACAUGUUUUGGGCCUUAACCCCGGAAAGGGGGCGUUGAGCCACUAAUGGACAUAGUCAUAAUCAAGAUGAAUAAAAACAUAAUUAAAUCCAUUAAAAAUAUAAAUCAAAUAAAUAAAAACCCUGAUUUAAGUGUUUUCCAGUCCCUCUCAAAUUUUCAAAGUCGUCCAAGGUGUAUAACAUCAAGUACAAGUGUCCUAUUUAUAGGAGGACAAAACUGCCGAUUUUUGUAUUAGGACGCUUUGCGGGGUUAAUUUACUACGUCUAUCUGUGCACCAUGAACUUAUCAUGGAUAUCCACUGCUUUUGUUCCAUUAUGAAGCUCAUUUUAUGUAAAAUUCCAUUUGGCCCUCGCUUUGGUCCAUGACACUCCCUUGACAUCCAAGGUGUCCAAUCACAUUAAGUUGUGUCUUGUGCUUUCGUUGAUCCAUUCCAAGCCUUUUUUUGUUGUUUCCACUUGAUUUGAAAAUUAUAUUUAAUUAAUAUAUCAUCUUACUAGUUGAUUUAGUCAUUCUUGACUAUAAGUUAUACUUUCAAAUCUCUAACAUCUUGGACAAACCCUUCCUAGCAACGGGUAGGGCAUUUGAUGAUAUAGAAUUAGGACAGAUAAAAUUUAAGCUUAAUGAUGAGCAACUGAUCUUUAAUAUGUAUGAGUCAAUGUAGUAUCCUGAUGAUAUGCGUGUGGUGUCUAUGAUAGACACUAAUGAUAAUGAUGUUGAGACAGUGACUAAGCCCAUUAAACAGAGUCUUGGGGUUGAGGCAUUGACAACUAUAAUCAUGAACUUCGAUAGUGAUAGCAUUGAUGAAUAUGAUGAGGUAGUGAGUGCAUUGCAUGGUAUAGGUUCUUACACUUAUGCCUCAAAGAAGCUUGAUCUGGAUUUCAAGAAUAGAACCACUUCUCUGGCUCGACCAUCUAUUAAAAAGUUAUUGAUCUCAAAAUUGAAGUCCCUCCCCUCUCACUUGGAAUAUGCAUUCUUAGGAGCUGACAAUACCUUGUUGGUGAUUAUUUUAGUUGGGUCAGUGAGUACAGAGGUAGAGGUAUUAUUAUCAAUGUUGUAGAGAUUCAAGAGGGUUAUUGGAUAGACCAUUAUAUAUAUAUAUUGUGGAGAUUCGACCUGGAAUUUUUACCUACAAGAAACAUCUUAAGGCAGAUAGUAUUCCCAGUAUUGAACACCAACAAAUAUUGAAUCCUCCAGUGCAGUACGUUGUGAAUAAAUAAAUUAUCAAGUGGUUAGAUGUUGGAGUGGUUUACCCCAUUAUUGAUAAUAAGUAGGUUAGCCUUAUCCAAUGCAUUCAAAAAAAGGGUGGAAUUACAAUAGUGCCCAAUGAGAAGAAUGAACUUGUCCCCAUGAGGCCAGUUGCAUGAUAGAGAGUAUGUAUGAACUAUAAAAACCUAAAUACAUGGAGUUAGAAGGGCCAUUUUCCUAUACCAUUUAUGGAUCAGAUGCUAGGCAGGUUAGCAGCCAGGGGUUGGUAUUGUUUUCUUGAUAAGUAUUUAGGAUGGAAUCAAAUUUCUAUUGCUCUAGUAGACAAAGAAAAGAUGACCAUUACUUGCCACCAUCGGACUUUUGCUUUGAAAAGGAUGCUAUACAGUUUAUGCAAUGAUCCAAGAACUUUUUGGAGAUGUAUGAUGUCAAUAUUCUUUGAUAUGGUAGAAGAUACUAUUGAGGUGUUCAUGGAUGAAUUUUCAUUGUUUGGAGUUUCUUUUAAUGACUAUUUGGCCAAUUUGGACAAUGCUAUCCAUAGAUGCGACGAAUGCAACUUUGUGUUUAAUUGGGAGAAGUGCCAUUUCAUGGUAAAAGAAGGUAUUUUACACAGACACAAGAUCUUAAAAAGGGUCAUUAAGGUAGAUAAAGAAAAAUUAAAGUGAUUGAAAAUUUGCCUCCACCAGUCUCGAUGAAAGGUAUUCAAAGUUUUUGGGUCAUGCAGGUUUUUACUGGCAUUUCAUCAAGGAUUUCUCACAUAUCUCACAUCCUCUAUGAAUACUUCUUGAGAAAGAGGUGAAAUUUAUAUUUGAGGAUGCAUGCCUUAAGGAAUUUGAGUGCCUAAAGGAGCGAUUAGUGAGAACCCUUAUCAUUAUAUCUCCAGAAUGGUGUGUACCUUUUAAGGUCAUAUGUGAUGCAGGUAGAGUGGUUUUAGGUGUUGUUCUAGUCACCAGAGAGAACAUCCUACACCUAAUAUACUGUAAAAGCUAGGAACUAAACCCAUACAAAAGAACUAUAUGGUUACUGAGCAGGAGUUGCUUGCGAUGGUUUUUUUCUUAGAGAAAUUUUGAUCUUAUUUGAUUGGGACCAAAGUCAUUACUCAUACAGACCAUGCAGUGUUAAGAUACCUAACGUCAAAAAAAUAUGCAAAGCCGAGAUUGAUUUGUUGGGUUCUCUUAAAGCAAGAAUUUGACUUUGAGGGUGAAAAUUCAAAAAGGCACUAAAAAUCAACUUACAAAUCACUUGUCUAGGCUUCAAGAGGAGGCAAUGCAGAAACUUGGGGAUGAGCUUGACAUAUAUGAUACUUUUCUUAAUGGUCGGGUCGUAGCGAUAGACUUAAUCUCGUCCUUUUCUAAUUUUGCCAUCUAUUUUGCAGGUCACGCUAUUCCAGAAGAUUUAUCCUUCUAGCAGCGCAAGCGGUUUAUGCAUAAAGUGAGGAAGUUCUUCUAGGAUGCCUUAUUUUUUCUAAAUUUGUGCAGGUGGGGUGAUUCGUAGAUGUAUUCCUGAGGUGGCGAUGAUGAUCAUCCUUAAGGAUUGUAAUUUAUCACCAGUUAGGCUCCAUCAUGGUGUAACCAGCAUAACCAAUAAAAUUCUACAAUGUGGGUACUAUUGGCCUAUGAUCUUCAAGGAUGUGUAUGAUUAUGCAUAAGCCUGUGAUCAAUGUCAGCAUCAAGGAAAUAUUUCAUGAUACCAUGAACUCGCUAUUACACCUACUUGGAGUUGGAGUUGUUUGAUGUGUAGAUAAUUGACUUCUUAGGUUCAUUCGUGGGCUCUUAUAGAAUGUUGUAUAUUUUGGUAGCACUUGACUAUGUUUGAAAAUAGGUGGAGGUGGUAGAGCUUCCAAACAAUGAAGGUAGAAGUGUCAUCGCCUUUUUGAAGAAAAAUAUCUUUUCUCGAAUCGGCACUCCUUGUGAGAUAAAUAGUGAUGGUGGGUCUCACUUUUGCAACUAGCUGCUUAAGUUUUUUCCUGAAAAAUAUAACGUGAAGUAUAUGGUGACGACACCUUAUAAUUCUCAUACGAAUGGGUAGGUUGAGGUCUCUAAUAAAGAGAUCAAGUCAAUAUUAGUAAAAAAAAUGAAUGCCAAUAGGAUUGACUGGUUAAGAAAGCUUGAUGAUGGUUUUUGGGCCUACCGAACAACUUCCAAGACCCCUAUAAGUGCCUCCCCAUAUCAUCUUGUAUAUGGCAAAGCAUUUCACUUGUUGGUUAAACUUGAGCAUAAGGCACUAUGGGCAUUAAAAAGGGUAAAUUUUAAGUGGCAUAAGGCAACUACAUUGAGGUUGAACAUGGUGAGCGAGUUGGAUGAAUUCUGACUCCAUGCUUAUGAUAGUUCUACUAUAUAAAAAGAAAGGACGAAGAUGUACCAUGACAAAAAAAUUAAGAAAAUAGUGUUUGAGCCUAGUGAUCGAUCUUGUUGUAUAAUUCAAGACUUUGCUUAUUUCCUAGAAAGUUGAAGUCUAGGUGGUAUAGACCAUUCAAAGUGGUUUUGUUGUUCCCAGAUGGAACUAUUGAGAUGGAGCAUAAUGGUGAAGCAUCGUUCAAAGUAAAUGGGAAAUGGGAGAAUCACUACAUAGUAAACCCUGGGGAAGUGGUUGAUAUUAUUGACCUUUUUCAACUUUGAGUAACCAAGUCAAUUGCAGUGUGUCGUGACAUUAAAUCAGGCGCUGUAUGGGAGGAAACCCAUGAGGCUGGUUGGAUAAGUCUAAGUAUCAAAACUAGCCACUUCAUGCCAUGACAUUAAAUAAAAUUCUCCAUAGGAGGAAAAUUAUGUUUUGUACUUUCUUGAUUAUAGGGUAUCUUAUGUGUUCAGUGUGUAGGGCUUGAGAUUAUAGAAAAAUAUCAGAAAACUUUUGUAGGUGCUAGGCCUUAUGACUUACUUUAGAAGUUGCGACCAGUCUUCAUGACUCGUCAUCUAAGUUGUAGGUAAAUGGAUCUCCGAAAUAUCUCAGGUAUUUGGAAUCAUCACAACUUUCAGAACGAGUCAUGGUGACUACAACUUGUAACCUUGAGUCAUGAUGACUGGAGACUCAGGUAAAGUUUAAGUCAUUACGGGGGAAGUCUAUGAUUUGUAACCUGGGGUUAUGAGUCAUAUUAGUGACUCGUUAACACGCCCUACAUCGUGGGCCUAGUAGGUCGACUCGACCUGAUCCAUAUGAUUUAAAUAAGGAAAUUCAAUUUAAAUGAUUGAUAUUACCAAUUUUGAAAAUAGAGACUCCCUCUAUUCUUAUUAACCACUCUGUAAAUGCCUAAAUAAACUCCCAAAGUCAUCCUAAUAAUCAAAGCUUAAGAUUUUCAAGCACCCAAAUAAAGUUUUCUCUCAAAGAACUAGGGUUCAAGUUACAAAAGUUUUCUUUUCAAGGAUCCAAAUAACUAAGUCAAGUAAGUUUAUGGUUCAAUUGUUUAUUGCUUAAGUUGAUGGUAAAUAUGCUCAAGACUAACUCGGAUUCCUUUAUAUGUUGUAUGUGCUUAAAGAUCAAACCCAAGUGUUUUUGAAAAUAGAAAAAUAUAUUGGGUAUAGCUUAAAAUUUUAUGCCUAAAAAUGUAAUGUUAGGAUGUACUAGGAGUAGUAUGAAUUUACCAUUAUCAUAAGAAUACAUAUUAUUGUUUUAGGAAUAUGAAAUAGGAAUCCAACCCUUUGAACACCCAUGUCUCAAUGGUCAUGGGGCUCAUAACAGCUCGUAGGGUAACCUAACAAGUCAUUACGUAACUCAUAACCACUGGAAACAUGGAUGCUAAAGGGGUUUGAGAUUCUUCUUACAUUAAGACUAAUGUCACGAGUCAUAGUCACACUAUACACCUCAUAGCGAGGAUUCGUAAUAAUUGGAAAAGGUAAAACAUAAAGGGAAUAGUUUUGGUAGGAAAAAAAGUGUUGGUAAAGAGUUGUUGUCUAACAUAAUGACUCAUUAGGAGGAAUUUUUAGAUGACCAGUGACCAUUCUUGAUGCACAAUCUUAGCUUAUGAGUCUUAUGAUGACUUGUAACCAGAGGUCAUGACUCGUACCUUGAGUGGUAGGGAGCCCAGUCCCUAAAAUAGUGAUACUAAUUUUUCUUUAUUUUCUUAUAACUUACUAACAGGUAUGUUUCAAUAGGUACUAAUGUCUCCAAAAGUGGACUCAAUAAAGAAACAAACCCCAAAAAAGCAAAACUCAAAGAAAACUGCCCCGUAAUCCACUCAUAAACAUAAAAAUAAGGACACCAUUAAGUUAAGCGGUUAAGUCGAGGAAUAUCCAUUGGUGGGGUAGGCAAAGACAUGGAAUCAGUUUCCUUGAUGCACCAAAUAAACCUCGAAAGAUGUCACACCACACAGGACUAAGUCUAGGAGGAAAAAUCAUAGCAUAUCACUACCCUACUCACCGUCCCAGUUUUAGGAGGAGGGUGAAAAUAAUAAUGAUAUUAAAGGUAAUGAUGAUGAUGAGAGGGAAUACUACUUUGAGGAGCAAAAUUCUAAGGAUAAUGUUGAGGGUAAUUACAGGUCCAAAUCUAAAGAUGAGGGUGAGUGUGAAGAGACUGCUACCCUAAUCAAAAUUCAGCCACCAUCACCACAUCCUACUCCACUAUCCAUCGAACUUUCUCUGGUGCCCAUCAUUGAAUGGAGGGGAUCCCCAAGAAUAUAGGUCUUAUAUAAAAAUGGUAAUGCAAUGAACCCUUUCAUGGGAAAUCCAUAAAGAAGGAUUUAUUUAGAGAGAGAGUUGGGUACCAUAAGCAUAUCUUAGAUGCCUAAUUUUGAUACCCGAUUCAAACACAACCACUUUGAGUGGAUGAACACAAAACUUGGCCAGUUUAGUUUUGCAUUAGUACAUGAGUUUUAUGUAGCGUAUUAGAUGGAUAUCAAGAGGAUAUAUCCAUAGGUGUAACUAUGAAAGGGUGGUGACCCAUUGAAAGAUGUGAUGAUCAGAGGUGUUCAGGUAAGCAUCUCCACCUAGAGCAUUUCCCAAGUGUUACAUAGGCCAGACUUCCUACCACCAGCAAAUACGUCAGAUAUUAAUUUUUCCAAGGUUGAAAUGCAAAAAUUUAAGAGGAAGAAAAUUUACACUGAGGACAAGUAUAUUCACUUCCUGUGGAUGGUCGGGCUAAUUACAACGGAAGGAGAAAAGGUUACUUGGGUAGUUGGAGGAGCAGGCCCAAGUUCACAGCAUGAAGGGUAGCCUAAAUUUUUUGGCUAAGGCAUGAUGGAUGCUAGUACGUCACAAGGUCCCACUUAUGGGGAUAAUGUACUCAGUCUAGACCGCACGACCUUGAUAGCUCGAAUUAUGGUAGGCUGUGAUAUUUAUAUAGCUUAGUUGAUUGGUUGGGAGAUUCUUCCAUCAUAGUCCUGGGAUUCCCAUGCUUACUAAUGCAGAUAAGGGAGUGCUAGAGAUUUCAGACAUUUAUCAGUUCAUCCAACCAUGGAGAAUUAUAGACUUGGGUUUGAUUCAAAAUGAGUCUAACCCUAUAUCCAAGGUAGCUAAGAUAGGGGCUACCAUGAUUAUAGAUACAUUUGUGGUCGGAGGGAACAAGUUGAUACUAUAGGGUUCACUGACAUAGGUGAGACCCUUAUUAAGACUGCCCAGUCUGAACCUCAAACAUCCAUGGAUGCAGUAUGCACUUAAAAAAACCCAACUCCACCACCUACUAUGGCACCACAACUAUUUACUUCAUAGACGGCCUUUGCCAGUUAUGCAUUAGUGUUGCAUUCAUUCCUGGUUGAGGUGAAAAAGAGAUUGUACAUUAUUGAGGUGAAAGUAAAAUUUAUUGAACGAGUUAAGCCAUGGGUGGACACACGAAUUUGAGAUGAGAUGCAGAGCAUGAAAACCAAGUUUAGUAGGUUUGAGAAGCUGACCGUCCGGAGGCUAGAGAGUAUACAAUCCCUAAAUUUUGUAGUGUAUGGGUUGACUUGGCUGAGCUCCAGAAGGAGAUUGAAGAUCUACAUGCUAGAACAUUCCUUUUCAUUAUUAUUAUGGAAGAGGUUAUUGAUGAAGAGGUUUCCAAGAUAUGGGAAGUUGAUAUAUAAAAAGAUAUGGCUGAUGUUGAUGGUGAUAGAGGAAGGAAGAGGAAAAAAAGAAAGAAAAUUAAGAGGGAGAAGAUUGAUGAUGUGAAAGAAGCUAGCAUAUAGGAUCAACUGGGUUGAUAGACUAGGGUCUAUAAGGUUGUAUAGGAGAUGGUACUUCUCAUGUUUCUUAUACUGCUAAUCUUAGCUGUCAUAUCGAUCUACCACUAGAUCCAUAAUGAAGUGCAUCGGUCACAAUCGAUGCCACUAUUGAUAAGAGCAUCUCAACUACUGCUGGGACUAUUGAUGUUGAAAGUAGGGCACAUCUUGAGUCCCCCCACAGUGAUAAUGUCUGAGAUGCGCCUAGUACUCUCAGGUAUAUUCUCUCCCCUUGUUUUUAAUUUACAUAUGGACUCCAGAUAGUGCAUAUGUAUUUAGUUUGGGGUGGGCGUGUACUAUAUAGCCAUCGUGGGUUGUUACCUUGAUUCUUUUCCUGUCGACUGUGAUUUGAAUGUUAAACUGGCAUGUCUAUUUUAAAAAUGUGUUGUGAUGUGUUUUUUUUUUGUAAUGUUUUGUGUUUGUGUUUAGUUAGGAUGAAAAUUUAUAACAAAGGUAGUUGAUCGAUUGUUUGUGUGAUUAUGCUGAAUCUAUUUGUGAAAAUAAGACCCCUCCAAAAAAUUCUAGAUAUAAUUUUGUGAUGUGUGUAUGUGUAUGACCGUUGUGAAUCUAGUAAUGUCAUCAGGAUUAGGAACAUAAUAAUUAUGGCGACCAAUUACAUAAACUGAGUAGAUAGUAACUGGCAGUGUGACCCUAUACCAUGUGUUUGUGAGACAUUACCUAGUUACCUCUGUGUAUGGAUUUCAGAACAUGCUCCAUUAGUAUUGUGUAGGUUGUAGGAUAGUUGGUUAGGAAAGACCAUAGGACAUUCUUGAAAAUGGUCUAACUUAGCCUAAAUAACAAACCAAAUGUAAUAAGAAUCCCUUGAAUUGCUAUUUUGAGCCGUAAUAGACCUAAUUUUUUGUUUACACAAACUCGCCUUUCCGUUUCGAUUGGAAUGAACUUGGUUUGGCCCUCAUCCUCCUUGGGCAUUGUGCACCUCAACUCAGGUAAAUCUCCUAAGUUGAGUGUGGCUAUCAUAGGGGUUUACUAGUAGAAAUGGGUAUGUAUAAGGGGUGUGAAUAGAAAAAAAAAGUAGGGUUAGGUGUGGUUGAAAAAAAAAGUAAAAAAAGAAACAAAAAAAUUCAAAAUAAGAAAAAGAAAAAAAUAAAAUAUACCAUACCUAGCCUAAAUAAGUAGAAAAAGAAUAAAUAGGGAGAAAUAAGGUCAGAUUGGAAAAAGAGUUUGUUAAAUGAGUAGAACCCAAAGUAAUUGUAGUGCCUAGGAGGCUAAGUCAUUAAAAAUUCCCAAAUAUAUCAUACCAACCCAUAGGACCAUAGGACAUUCUUGAAAAUGGUCUAACUUAGCCUAAAUAACAAACCAAAUGUAAUAAGAAUCCCUUGAAUUGCUAUUUUGAGCCGUAAUAGACCUAAUUUUUUGUUUACACAAACUCGCCUUUCCGUUUCGAUUGGAAUGAACUUGGUUUGGCCCUCAUCCUCCUUGGGCAUUGUGCACCUCAACUCAGGUAAAUCUCCUAAGUUGAGUGUGGCUAUCAUAGGGGUUUACUAGUAGAAAUGGGUAUGUAUAAGGGGUGUGAAUAGAAAAAAAAAGUAGGGUUAGGUGUGGUUGAAAAAAAAAGUAAAAAAAGAAACAAAAAAAUUCAAAAUAAGAAAAAGAAAAAAAUAAAAUAUACCAUACCUAGCCUAAAUAAGUAGAAAAAGAAUAAAUAGGGAGAAAUAAGGUCAGAUUGGAAAAAGAGUUUGUUAAAUGAGUAGAACCCAAAGUAAUUGUAGUGCCUAGGAGGCUAAGUCAUUAAAAAUUCCCAAAUAUAUCAUACCAACCCAUAAUCCUACAUUACAAUAAAAAUAAAGUCCUAUAUUUAUCCCAACCAGACCGUUCGAAAGCUGAGGUAAAGGAAUUAAGGCAAACCUAUAGCAUUUUGCGCAAAAUAUUGGAAUUUCUUUAUGAGGGAGAGCAUCUCUUGACCGUCCUGGCAUUAAUAUGUUGAUCUAGUUGAGCGAUUGGGACUUCUUUUAUUGUGAGAUGCAUGGUUACAUUGUUAGAUUACUUAUCUGUUUGGGUAGUGUAACUAGUUUAUCCACGGUUGUUUAUUGGUAAUGUGAUGACAUCACUUGAUUACCUUGUUUCAUGUGGUUGUACUACCUUAGUAUACACAGUUGGGUUUAUAAAAGUUCAAUCUAAGUGGGGGUAAUGUGUUUUGAGCCAAAAUUGAUAAUUAACUACCAAAAGGUAGCAUAGGAUCUUUCUGGUUAAGCAUCGUGUUUGUUUUUAUUUUGUGUUGUUGCCUGAGGACACGUAAAUGUUCUAAGUUAAGGGUGUUGAUAUGACAUGGUUUCAUGACUCAUUAGAUUCUUAAAACAAUGAAAUAUGCAUUUACUUAAGUUGUUUUGUCGGAUAUGAUGUGUGUUUUAGGUAUGUUGCAGGUAAAUUAGGUUGGAAGUGGUGUUGAUUGAGAAUUAAUGUAAAAGCUACAAAAAAUUUGACGUGUGGAUUAGGCUGCAAGCCGUUUAGUCACCUUACGACUCAUAGCCAGAAUCGUGGGCAAAACAAUGGCAAAAGUUGAGUUCCAAGAAUAAAGUAAUAGAUGAUCAUGACUCAUUAUGUGUGACUAUGAGUCGUGGAGUAAAGUCAUUAUGGGAAUAGUCGCUAAAAGUCCUAAGGAAUGAAAAAUAGGCUCCAGUAGUAACGAGUGAAGAUCACGAGUCAAUAGGAUUGAAUAUGACUCGCAGUGAGGAGUCAUCCUAACAACAAACUCAAAAGUCAUGAAAGUAAAAUUCUAUUAGAGUGACUACGACUAGAAUCCUAAGACUUGGGAAGUCAUCUAGAGAGUCGUGAUCACCGAAAGAAAAUAAGAGUUAUGAAAUUAGGCAAUGAGUCAUAAUUAGUCUUAAUGACUCAUUCCCAGAGCUGUGACCACUGCCGACAUAAUUCUCUUAUUCUGUUUUACUUAGGUUUCCUAUAUUAUUUUGGGGAUACUAUAAAUACCCUUGGGUUAUUCUUUUAUUAUGUUACACACUUUGAGAUAUUUUCACAUACUUUGACAUCUUUAAUACUCUUGUUAUUGGUUUUUUGGUUUCAUAAUUAAUCAUGAUUUUGGAUUUUAUUCUAUCGUCCAGUGAAAUUAAUUCUAUGUUUUCUUCAUUAAACUCCAUGGGCUGUUCCAUAACCAUGAGCGACUAAUUUCCUUGGCUAGGGUUGUGGGAACCCUGAUGGACUGACAAAGUAAGGAAAGUGCGAGAUUCAACUAGACCUAAAUUUAUAUGUGUAUUGUGGUUUCCUUUGAGUUAAUUGAUUUCUUUGUGGUGUCCAACUCUAACAACCAGUCUGUAUUCGAGAUCAUCUUUAUAAGGUAGGUCGAUAUUGGGAAAAAGGAAAUACUACAGUGAUUUGAGGAUAUCAACACUCAUCUAAUAACUUGAGACCCCUAAGGUAAUAGUUAUACUGCGGCUGAAGACAAGUGUUAUAACCUGACCUAGGGACUAGUCGUGAUGGGUAUCUCAAGGCCGUCGAGGGUCGAUGACCCCCCCUUAGUCUAGCCAACCAGUACACAAAAUCCAGAUGAAAAACUAAUGAGUGAUGUAUUUACCACUCAUUUGUACUCAACAUUCAUGCAUAAUACCAUAAUUUGAAUGUACAGAUGAGAUAUAUUUGUGAUUAAGGGCACUAAUUUCCACAUUUUGUAGGCAUAUAUGUCAUGAGAUGAAAAGUUGUGGAUUGAAACUAAAAAGAAUAAAAAGGAGAAAACAAGUACACCUGGAAGACCUAGAGAAGAAACAAGCCUUAGUUACUACGAUCACUGUUUGAGGUCAGUGAUUGUGGUUAGUCAAGACAGGUCAAUGUAUCGCGAUUACGAGUGCUGACCAUGAUUGUAUUAGCCGCGAUCGCGGACAAAUGGCAGCGAUCAUAGCCUAGUGGGUUUAAUGAUCAAGGGCAAUUUAGUCGAAAGACGUAGCUGAUUCCAAUUCCCAUUCCAGGCACACUUCUUCUUCCAUUAGGACAUUAUAUAAGAGAGGAGGAUUGAAAAAUUAGAAAACAAGUGAACCUUAGAAUUUGGGAAACAUUUGUGUAGUUAAAAUUUCAAGUAGAAAUUGCUAAAAUUGAAGUGUAUAGUGUAGAUUUUAUUUAUCUUCCAUUGUUAUGGAUUCAAUAAAUGAAUUUUUUGGUAUAUUUUAUCUCUUUCAUUUCAUGAGUAGCUAAAUUCUCUAUUCUUGGGAUUAUGUUGAACAAGGAUGCAAUUGUGUUUGGGUGAUGAUGUGUUUGUGUAAUUCUUAGUUGUUGAUUAUGUAUCCCAUUAUUGAUUGGUUUAAAAUGGUUUUGUUAGAUGAUAACCCCAAACUCUUGAAAGCUCUCAUCAUCCUUGAAAGAGGGAUAUGGGUGAACUUUUGGGAACCCGUAGCUUCCUUGAAAGAGGUCUAUAUGGGGCCAAAGUAAUAGCGCAAAAUUGUAAAUAUAACUUUCUUUUGCCAUCUUCGAAAUAAGGGUAGAUAGAGAGUAGGUUAUGUUAGGGCAUCUUCCUAAAAAUAGGGAUGCCCAAUUGAGGUUUUGGGUGGAAUUUAUUGAUACACUCGUUAGGUACUCGAAAGAGUCAAUGAGUGGCAUCCUUAAGGCCUUGUUGACAAACUAGCCUCAUGGACUCUUAACCUAACCUACCAUGUUAUCAACAAUUAGAACUUAUACCAAACCAUCAUGAUCACACGCACAACUUGCCCUUAGGUAGACAUAAUCCUAAGAUCCAUCCGAAAAUUAAAUUCUUACACAAAAGUAUUAUUGUAGUGUGUUGCAUUACUUGAUAUUGAUAACAUCCUAUUCCAACCCCCCCCCCUCCCCCCACACACACACUUUUUACAUCAUGUGUUUUACGUUGUGAAUACUUCAGGUAUCUUUUUAGUUAUCUUGACACCCAUAGGACUCGAAAUCUAAAUCUUACUCCUCGUUGAUUCGACCUCAAUGAAAGUUGAGCUAUUGACAAAGACCGUCCUCUACCACUUUAGAUGGUAUAGGUGAGCGUUAUCAACAAUGAAAGACAUCCAAAAUAUAAAAAUAAAAUAGUUAAUGUAACUCAAUGUAACUGAGAGUCAAUAAACAAUAACCACCCACUCUUUUUCUAUAAAAUCUAUUAAAUCAAAGUACCAAGUUAGUUCGGGACAUGCCCCAGGCCAUGGCCAAAAAAGAAAUCCAGAAUAUAAAAGAAACCGAUGGGAUUUCGAUACUCAUAAAAGAAAGAAAUGAAAUUUAUGGCCUUUCAAAAAAGGCAUACUCACUACUUCAAUGCAGACCAACCAACAAACCAAAACCACCUAACUCUUCAUAACGAAACCAAAACACCCUUAGGACUCUACCAUCAUGAAAUGAUGUAGCAUCCAAGGAUAGUUAGCAGGGUAAGAGCUAGCAUAUAACUCGAGGAACGGAUAAAAUAGUGCCAUUUUCCAAAACAAAACCAAUCUCAAUGUAAAUGUUCAUAUACAUGCAUAUACAUAUAUAAAAACGUUGGAAUAGGGUACAAGGUUUAAUUAUGAGAUUUAAAAACCAUUAACCUAGUCUUUAUAGCUCUAACCAUCCUAAAGAAACAUUUGUGUAGUUAAAAUUUCAAGUAGAAAUUGCUAAAAUUGAAGUGUAUAGUGUAGAUUUUAUUUAUCUUCCAUUGUUAUGGAUUCAAUAAAUGAAUUUUUUGGUAUAUUUUAUCUCUUUCAUUUCAUGAGUAGCUAAAUUCUCUAUUCUUGGGAUUAUGUUGAACAAGGAUGCAAUUGUGUUUGGGUGAUGAUGUGUUUGUGUAAUUCUUAGUUGUUGAUUAUGUAUCCCAUUAUUGAUUGGUUUAAAAUGGUUUUGUUAGAUGAUAACCCCAAACUCUUGAAAGCUCUCAUCAUCCUUGAAAGAGGGAUAUGGGUGAACUUUUGGGAACCCGUAGCUUCCUUGAAAGAGGUCUAUAUGGGGCCAAAGUAAUAGCGCAAAAUUGUAAAUAUAACUUUCUUUUGCCAUCUUCGAAAUAAGGGUAGAUAGAGAGUAGGUUAUGUUAGGGCAUCUUCCUAAAAAUAGGGAUGCCCAAUUGAGGUUUUGGGUGGAAUUUAUUGAUACACUCGUUAGGUACUCGAAAGAGUCAAUGAGUGGCAUCCUUAAGGCCUUGUUGACAAACUAGCCUCAUGGACUCUUAACCUAACCUACCAUGUUAUCAACAAUUAGAACUUAUACCAAACCAUCAUGAUCACACGCACAACUUGCCCUUAGGUAGACAUAAUCCUAAGAUCCAUCCGAAAAUUAAAUUCUUACACAAAAGUAUUAUUGUAGUGUGUUGCAUUACUUGAUAUUGAUAACAUCCUAUUCCAACCCCCCCCCCUCCCCCCACACACACACUUUUUACAUCAUGUGUUUUACGUUGUGAAUACUUCAGGUAUCUUUUUAGUUAUCUUGACACCCAUAGGACUCGAAAUCUAAAUCUUACUCCUCGUUGAUUCGACCUCAAUGAAAGUUGAGCUAUUGACAAAGACCGUCCUCUACCACUUUAGAUGGUAUAGGUGAGCGUUAUCAACAAUGAAAGACAUCCAAAAUAUAAAAAUAAAAUAGUUAAUGUAACUCAAUGUAACUGAGAGUCAAUAAACAAUAACCACCCACUCUUUUUCUAUAAAAUCUAUUAAAUCAAAGUACCAAGUUAGUUCGGGACAUGCCCCAGGCCAUGGCCAAAAAAGAAAUCCAGAAUAUAAAAGAAACCGAUGGGAUUUCGAUACUCAUAAAAGAAAGAAAUGAAAUUUAUGGCCUUUCAAAAAAGGCAUACUCACUACUUCAAUGCAGACCAACCAACAAACCAAAACCACCUAACUCUUCAUAACGAAACCAAAACACCCUUAGGACUCUACCAUCAUGAAAUGAUGUAGCAUCCAAGGAUAGUUAGCAGGGUAAGAGCUAGCAUAUAACUCGAGGAACGGAUAAAAUAGUGCCAUUUUCCAAAACAAAACCAAUCUCAAUGUAAAUGUUCAUAUACAUGCAUAUACAUAUAUAAAAACGUUGGAAUAGGGUACAAGGUUUAAUUAUGAGAUUUAAAAACCAUUAACCUAGUCUUUAUAGCUCUAACCAUCCUAAAGGCACCCACGGGAUAUAUUGGUUUAGCUCCCCCAGUUGAAUGAGUCCUAGUGCGUGUUAUCCACAUAAACUAGGAAAAAUUGGAGGAAGGGCCAGGAAAUCUACAAUCGCAGCGAUUCAAAAUUAUGUAUAAUAUGUCAACUAUCCAAACUAUCAUAAAUACUCCCAUCCCGGCAAGCGUGGUUACUAGUAUUGGUCCCCCCGAGACUUCUACCUUCCAUGAUGAGCUACACAUAACCCUUUAAGACCAACUAAAACAUUUGCACAUAACUCACCCAUUUAACUAAGUGUUUAUCCAGUUAGGCAUUUAGCAUUGAUAUUGACAUAACAAUUAAUUAUGAUUGCAAGAUUACAAAAUAUGCCAUUUCAAUUAUCCAUCAAUGUGGGGGAAUCCAUAAACCUCAUGUUCAAAUUUAAAACCCAUACCAUGGCCACUGAGGCCCUUUUCAAAACAAUUUUUUCCCAUUUAUCCAUUAAUGUAAUGCGAUAGCUUAGACCAAUAAGGAAAAAAAUUUCAAUAAUAUUUCAAAUUCAAUUAUGCAAGUGGGUUGAGUUUACUACCAAUUCCAAAGUGGACUCCAUAAAAUUUAGGGAAAUCAACCACCCCCGUCCCAUUCACCAUACCCACACACAAUUUUAGUUCAAAAACCAUGAGAUAAAGUAUGAAAAACAAUUCCAAAACCAUUUGAAAGACAACCAAGUAGUAAUCAUACAAAACCCUCAACCCAUUAUUUAAAACCCAAUAAUUAAAUCCACAUAAACCAUGAUUAAACAUAUGAUUUUAUAUAAAACCUAGUUAGAUAAGAGAUACAUGCCUGAAAACACAAAUAAAUUUGGAGAGAAAACCAAAAUUUUAAGCCAUGAUGACCAAUUCCCUUAAAAACCCUAACUGUUCUUGCUUGGGAAAUGUAAGAGAGAAGGGAGUAUUUAUGUAAUGUUAAUUUGGGAAAAUAUGGCUAAGGGGAGGGUUUUAAGUCAUGGAAUGUAAUGGGAUGGAAGUAAAAGGCCACAAUGCCCUUAAUAAAAUCGUGCAAAAAAUAUAACUACCAGUCGCUAUGGAUCCCAUAAUGACUCGUGGUCACUGGUCAUAAGUUGUCACUAUGACUCGUAGUCUAGGUAGAAAUUUUGGCACCUUGACUGGUAAGGUCAUGAGUCACACCCUAUGACUCGUCACUAGUCCUUACGACUCGUAGGGUACUAGUCAUAACAAUAACACAAACAGUAGACCAUCUCACUGGUUAGACCUCUAUUGGCACUGUAUGACUCGUCACCUAAGUCGUACCGUUGAUAGUAAUGACUAAACCUAGAAAUUUACAAGGUCCAAACCCUAGAUUAUUACAUUACCCCCCUCCCCCACCCCCACCCCCCAAGAUCAUUUGUCCUUGAAUGAGGAGUCAAGGAACCCAUUAACAUGAUAACAAAAUAGAAUGCACACAUACCCAAGAGACAAAUUUGAAAGACCAAAAGAGGGAGAACAGAAAUCAUAUCCCAAGCAUUUUCAUCCAACGCGGGGAACAAGAAUGGAUACUAUGACUUCAUGUUCUUUUCAGUUUCCCAAGUAUCUUAUACCACCUUUGAUUCCUCCAAAGGACUUUCACUGAAGUUACAUCUCAACCGGGACUUCCUCAUAAGAUAAGGAAUCUGAGAUACCAACAUCCUCUCUAGUAACAAUCAAAUAAGGAUCACCCACACACUUUUUAACAUCGAUACAUGGAAGAUUGGAUGAAUAGAACACAAAAUCACAGGCAAAUUCAACUCAUAAGAAAUAUUCCCAACUCUUCUCAACAUCUGGUAUGUACCAAUAAAACGGGGAGUCACCUUUCUUUUAUUCCCAAACCUUAUCACUCCCUUCAUAGUAGAGACUUUAAAGAAUCCCCAAUCACCUAUAUCAAAUUCCAACUCCCUUUGCCUCACAUCUGCAUAAGACUUUUGGCUACUUUAGAUAGUCUUAGACCUAUCCCUAAUCUACUUCACCUUCUUUGUGUCUUGACAAACCAAGUUCAAACCAAACAACCUAGCCUAACCAGCCUCAAACCACCCAAUAGGAGAUCUACACCUCCUACCAUAAAAAUCCUCAAAAGGAGCCAUCUGAAUACUCGAGUGGUAUAUAUUAUUAUACGCAAACUGAAUAAGAGGUAAGUCAUUAACCCAAUAUCCAUUAAAGUCAAACACACAAGAAAUUUGCAUAUCCUCCAAGGUCUAAAUAGUAUAUUCUGCUUGUUCAUCCAUUUGAGGUUUGAAAUAAGUGCUAAGGUUCACCUUAGUCCCCAAAACUUUCUGAAAUAAAUAGAAAAAAUGAGAAGUAAAUUUCAUACCUUGGUUUGAAAUGAUGGACAUAGGCACUCCAUGAAAUCUAACUAUCUCUUCAAUGAACAACAUAGAAUAAUCCUCUCAAAAGUCGGUGAUCCUCAUAGGCAAGAAAUGAGCAGACUUAUCAUCCUAUCCACAAUGACCCAAAUCAAAUCAUACUAAUUAUGAUAUUAUGAAAGACCCAUAAAAAAAUCCAUGUAGAUCAUUCCCAUUUCCAAACUGACAACUCGAUCCCUUGAGAUAUCCCACCAGGACUCAAGUGUUCAACCUUCACCUACUGAUAGACCAUACACUUGUACACAAAAUUCACCUCAUCCUUCUUCAUAUUGCUCUACCAAAAUAUUUCCUUCAAGUUAUGAGACAUCUUUGUUGAACCUAGAAAAACAAUAUUCCUUGAUUCAUGAGCCCCAAUCAAAAUACUAUCCCACCAUCCAUCAAUAUCAAGAACACACAACCUUUCUUGAUACCUCAAAAUACCAUCACUGCUAAUCUUAAAAGAUAUUUUCUUCCAUCCCACAUCAUCCUUUAUCUUCAUAAGAAUAGGAUCCAAAAUCUUCUUCUCCUUCAGCUUAGUACUAAGAGAUUAUUAGACCAUCUUUUGUACAAUCACUCCUCCAUACUCAGAGUCCAAAAGAUGAACCUCCAAGUUAUCCAACCUAUGAAUAUCCUUCUCUAACCCUCUCUUCUCAUCAUCUAUAUAAGAUAAGCUCCCCAUAGACAACCUUCUAGGAGUAUCAACAACCACAUUUGUGUUACUUGAAUGAUAGUGAAGACUUAUGUCAUAAUUCUUAAGCAACUCAAGCCACUGCCUUUGCCUGAGAUUUCACUCCUUUUGAGUAAAUAAUUAUUGUAAGCUUCUAUGUUUGAAAUAAAUAUCCACGUGUACCCCAUAAAAAUAAUGGCGUCAAAUUUUUAUAGUAAAAACCACAAUCGUCAAUUCUAAAUCAUGAGUAAGAUAAUUUAUUCCAUGAACCUUAAGUUGUCUAGAAGUAUAGGCCACCACCUUACCAUGCUAUACCAAGGCACAACCUAGUCCCAUACGAGAUGCAUCACAAUAUACAAUAAAUCCAUUAAUAACCUCAAGCAAGGUCAAAAUAUGAAUAGAAGUCAACUUAUUCUUAAACUUCUCAAUACUACCCUCACAAGCAUCAAACCACAAGAACGUCACCUUUUCUAAGUUAACUUAUUAAACAGAGUAGAAACAAAAGAAAAACUCUUCCCAACCUUAAAUAAUACCCAGCAAAGACAAAAAAGCUCCAAAUAUCAUUUGGAGUCAUGGAUUUAGGCCAUAUCUUAACAGUCUCAACCUUUGUGGGUGUAGGAGUCUUCAUGACUUGUUACCUGAGCUGCACCCUAGGCGGUGAUGAAUAAGCCAAAAAAUUUGUAGCGUCCAAAACUAGGGGUAUUAUAAUAAGGAAUAAUAAGGCAACACCGUAAGACUCAUAAGGUGAAGGGUGAUAUUUACCAUCGAGUCCUUAAUAUAGUUGGUAAUAUCGAGCUUAUAAAAUUCUUUCAUGUGCCAGUGGUAUAGUUGGGUUAACCAUGAGAAUCUUAUAGAGUUAGAAGGUUGGGGGAACACAAUCCUAGUGUUUGUUUUGACUGAUUACAACUAUACUAUCCCAAUUCUGUUACUAUAUACUACUUUUACCAAUACUUUACCCUAUUUAUUUUUCUGCACUUCCAUUGAUUUCAUUAAGUUUGAGAGAUAAUUCUGCGUAUUCCAUGUGGGUUUGACCACAACCUGGUUUGGUUACUAUAUUUGAAAUUGACCAUAACGUACUUCUUUGGAGGUACAAUUUUGGGAAACAUCAGUCACCCUUAGAAUACAUGCAUUAUCAUUUUGUGAACUCAAAAUGAGAAAUAAGAGGAGAGAAAAUGGAAUAGAUAAAAUAGAUUUAUAAUCUUCCAAUUGAAUAAAGUUAUAAUUUACAAGUAUGAUAUAUGUAUUUUAUGGGAUAAGCAGCUAACUACAAGGGGCCAGGUCCUUAGAUGUGCAAGGUACAGCAUAGUUUGCAUUCGAUGUUUGCAUAAUUUUGUGCUCUUCUGUAACAAGAUUGUAGGUGCUAUUUUUCAAGUAUGCUAUAUGUAGUUUUGAUGAUGAGAACCUAACUAUAAGGGACCAACUCCCUGUAUAAGCAAGGUACAAUACAGCUGGCACGCAUUGUCUUCAUAGUUUUGUCCUCUUAUGUAACAAACUUUUAGGUGUUAUUUUGUACUGAUUAGGAUAGCUGGUCCAAUGAUCUUUCAACCCUAAUAAUCACUCAGAUAAAAAAAGACAUGCCUCUUUAUCAAAUCAGUUUUACUUAAUAAGAAAGAGUGAGGAAAGACAAUAAAAACCCUAUUUCAACACUACUCAAGUUCUUAGCUUUAUGAAUGCUUAAAUAGAAAUAGUUCUUGAGUGAGUUUUGAUUUGUUAAUGAAUUACCUGUGUUAUAGAAGUAAUGAUUUUUAUUCUAUUAAGAGAGGUUCUUAGGUAGAGUUGCCUGACCUUGUGACUAAUUAGAGUUAAUAAGCAGAGAGAAUCCUUGGUAGAGUUACCAAGAUAAACUUACAACAGAAUUGCCACUAGUGAAAAGAGCCUAGAGGUAGGAUGAAAUCUAGACUAUAAUCAGGAGGUUGAUUAUAGUGGAUUUCUUUUGUGCUUGUGAGGGCAAUCCUUGGUUUUUUACUUCAUGGGAUUAUACAUCAAAAUAUUAUGUUUUUACCCUUCAUGCACUAUUUUUUGUUCUCCUUCCUUUUAUUAUUUGAUUUCUUGUGAUUGACUUUGAGGGACCUAGUCCCUCACUAUAUGGUGCAAUCCUCAGGGUUUCUGUAAUUAGUAUCAGAGCAAGGUCACUCUAAAAGGUUCACACCUAGAGUGUUUUAGCUAGCAUGGCUUCUCUACAUAAUAUAGAAGAAGGACAAUCUACUACUAAACCACCCAAAUUCAAUAGGUAGUAUUAUAGGUAGUGGAAGACAAGGAUGUUUGACUUUAUUAUGGCUAAGGAUUAUAAGUUGAUGGACCUAAUUCUUUAUGGUCCUCGUGUACCUAUUAAAGAAGUCAAAGAAAAAGAGGUUACAAGAAUGGUCGUUAGAAGUAUGAGAGAGUACAAUGAUGAAGAUAGGAAAAAGAUCAAAAAAAUUACAUACCCAAGAAACUGUUAGUAUAUGGCAUAGGUCCUUAUGAAUAUUAGGAUAUCAUCUUGUGAAAAUUCAAAUGAGAUCUGGGAUUACUUGAGAACUACUCAUAAAGGCACCACUGAUGUGAAGGAUUCAAAAGUGGACAUAUUGACUACUUAGUAUGAAACCUUCACCAUGAAAGAAGGAGAAACAAUCAAAGAAAUGCAUACAACAUUCACUUUUAUCACAAAUGAGCUUUAUUACUUAGGUGAAGUGAUUCCCUUGUACAAAUAAGUGAGAAAAAUUCUUGGUGUUCUUCCUAAGUACAUGGAAAGAAAAGUGGAUGCCAUAACUAAAUCAAAGAACCUAAAUGCCCUCACUAUGGAUGAACUCAUUUGAAUAUAAAGACUAAUGAGCUUAAGAAGCUGCAAGGUUUUGAAAAAAAGAAGCAAGAAGAUUUAAAUCCCUGGCAUUAAAGGCUUCUAAGUAUGAACCAGUUGAUGAUGAAGACACUAAUGUUGCUUAUUUGGCAAAUAGAAUUUUUAGAGCUAUGAAAAAGAGUGGUCAGUUCUUAGAGGGAGGAAGAAAUACUGAAGUGUGUUACAAAUAUAGAUGUCCUAAGAAUUUAAUCAAGGACUGUCCCAUGCAUAAAAUGGAUCAUCAGGAUUACCUCAAGGCUGCAAGUUACAAAGGAUUGAUCAAAGACCAAGUCCCUGACAAUUAAAGAAGGAAGGGUAUAGCUUAUUAUGAAGUAAAAAAAGCUCUUGCAGCAUGGGAAGAUUUCUCCAGUGAAUCGAAUAAGGAUAAGUAGUCUAGAGAUAUGUCUAUGCUAGCAGUGGAAGAUAAUCCAAUUAUGUAUGAUUUAUUAUUUUCCUUCAUGGCAAAUACAAAUGAUGAAGAAAAAGAUAAGGUAACUCUCUCUUAUAUAAAGGAAAUUCUAGAUAACUAUUCUGCUAGAAAGAUAAAAAAGAUUGCAAGUAUGUUGAUAGAUUGUGUAUCUGAACUAACUAUUGAGAAAAAUGCCUUAGAAGAAAAAGUAAAGAAUCAAGAGCAUGAUUUGAUUGCUUUAACUCUCUAAAUUUUUGGAACUAAAGAGUUGUUCACCAAGAUGAAAUCUAAAAAUUUAAAUUUAAAAACACCUUAUAUAUACACUUUACAGGAAUGAAGAGUUAGAGAAGGACCUGGUCUGCUUGAUAGAAGAGUUGAGCAAGUCUCUUAAGUGGACGACUUCCUCACUAAUACUUUAUGACUUGACUAAAAAAGGUUUUAAUAAUGGUAGAUGUUAGGUCUAUCAAUGAAAAUCCCAACCUGUUGAUUCUAAAAGAAAGUUUGUUCUUGAUGAUAGAAGAGAAGGGUACAAAAUCUUGUGCACUCACUGUGGAAGAGAUGGACAUUUGAAAGAAAGAUCUCAAUACUAGAUUAAGUUAUUAUUAAGGAAUACUAAAUACAUUCAAUAGGAUUAUGAAUAUCCUACAGUCUUCGAGUCUCCAAAAAAAGUGAAGAGGAAGCUAUCAUUACAUAUAUGGGCUAAGAAGAAUUUGAUCACACCAUUAUCCUUCUACUAGGAACUCAAACUUAAGUGGGUUCCUAUAUCUAACUUAUGAUCAUAAUUACAAACAUGGGAAGUUAAUUACAGUCAGGAGUAGCUCAUUAAUUGAAAGGGUUUAAAGCUCAAUGAUGGAAGGUCUGACUAUGUUCUCUCUCUUAAGACACUUCAGGUAAAGGUGUCUUAUUGUGAAAAGCUGAUCUCAAGGACCUAGUCCUUAUCUUAUGAAUGUUGAUGCUAAAAAAAAAGUAUGUGUGAAGCUUGUAUUCUAAAGGAAUCCAUAGAAUGACCUUCAGAUUUGAUAAAUGAAAAUGCUUUGGAGAAUGAAUUGAAAGGAAUUCUAUAGAUUGAUGAAAGAGGUGCAUGUAGUUCUUGAUUAGUCAAUAACAUUAUAGAUCCUUGGUGGUGUUAAAAAUAAUGAGUAAAAGGAUGAAAGAUACAGAUGAUUCUCAGGGUCUUGGUCCCUAGAAAAUAAAUCUCAGAAAGAGAAGCUUCAAUAGCUUAAAUAAAGCCAAGUCUGGGACUUGGCGCCUAAACCUGCUAUGGGAAUAAGUUUUGAGAUAAAAAAGUAUGUAGAUUUUAAAGCAUGAUAUUGAUUUAACCUAAUAUGUAAAUCAAUGUCUCUCAAAAAAAUUGGCUAUGAUAAGGAGACACGAAUCCUUAAUAAAGUACAUCCAUAUUAUUCUUACUCAGUACUAUACCCUUGCAGGGAUACACCCAUGGGAACAACAUUGAAAGUGGAAAAAUGUUACUUGCACAAAUUUGAAGAUUUACUCAAAAAGGGGGGAGACCUGGUCACAUCUCUCAGGUUAGUAUCACAACAGUAUGCUUUAAUAAUCAUAAAAUAAUUGCCUAGAAAGCCAUGUGUUUUUCCUUCUCUAAAUAAAAUUUGUCAAUUCUCUUGCAAAAUGAAGAGUUGCUCUUAUUAGGAUCAGACAUGUCUUUUCAAAAGGAACAUAUUUUGAUGACAACGGUUACCGCUUCAAAAUUCUAAAUUGUUAUAUUUCUCAUUCUUAGACUCAAAUCAUCACUCUUUGCCCCCUCUAAACCAAACUGGUUCCUCUGACUCUUCUUCACUCACAAAACCAAAUGACUAACCUUACUACUUCCUUAAACCUAUCUAAGAACCCUGAAGUAGAUAAAACUCUAAAAAAUCAAAUUGAAUUUUCCUUCAUAAAAUAUCUCGAUCCUUCGGCAACCAAAGCCAUAGAAAACAUCACCUUAGAUCCUCUAAGUCAAAGUCUAGUAACCUUGUUGGAAUGAGCCAAAAAUAUAUAGCUGUAAAGAAAAGUAUAGACGCUGAGGGACCUGGUUCAAAGAAGAAAAAAGUUGUGACUAAAAUGAAGAGGAAAGUAAUGAGACUAAAGAAAGAGAUAAAAAAUGUGUCUCGAUAAAUAGGAAAUAAAAUUCUAAUGACUCAUAAGGUUCUGUCAAAAAGAACUUUUGAUUCCAAGGUAUGUGAUAAGCUAGAAAUAAUGGAAGCUGGUAGAUUAUUUCAAGCACCAAUGAUGACUAUAUAUUUUUGAGCAAACAUCACUAGUGGUUUUUGAAAAUAAGAUAAGGGAAUUUUAUUACACCAUAGAAUUCUCAGAAGAUGGACUAACUCUGAAUGCCCAAAUCUAAGGGAAGAUUAUUAAUCUAGGUAAAAAAUCAUGGCGUAAGAUCUUGGAUGAACCUAUAAUAGGUGUGAGGACAGUUGUGAAGAAGCAACCCUUAACUUAGUUCAUGAUAAAUUCAUCAAAGAUAAGAGGAACAUCAAUAGUUGAAGUAAAAAUAAAGUUUUUAAAAAUAAGUAUUAGUUGGUAUUUGAGUUCAUCAACAAGGUCCUACUACCAAGGUUUAAAAAAAAAACAAUUCACUUUAGUGUUUACUUGUUCUUGAUCAAAUGUCUGAGUAAGUUUUCGUUAAUAAUCUUACCAGAGCACAUGAAGAAGGUAAUCUAUUGGAAGUAAUGUAAACAUGGAAUGCCAUAUAGGUCUAUCCUCAACAAUGUAUUUGAUCACUUUGGGGUAAUUGAGAACUGUGUUAGAAAUAAAGGACACUAAAAUAAUAUACCUAAAAAUGCAGAAUUAGAAAUUGUCUUCUGACGAAACUAGUGCCACUGAUGAACUUGCAGAUAAAAAUACUAAACUGCAGACAAAAGUGGUAGAACAACUGGUGAAUUUCAAAGAUUGGAUGCUGAAGUGAAGGACCUUACAAAAAAAGUUGUUGGACGCUAUAACUACUAAAAAUGAAAGAAUGGAGAUGUUUCUUAAGUCCUUUUUUCCUAAUCCUCCCUCUACCUAAGCCAUGUUAUCCUUAUUUCCUCAUCAAUCUAUGUUAUUUUUAUAUUUUGGUUCACAUAAUGGGCCUUAAAGAUAGUUAUUUUUAUGGUGAUUAUUUUAUCUUACUGUAUUGGUACUUAUCAUGAUUAAUCAUGAAUGAAUCUUUAUUUGUGAUCUUCAUUUUUCUUCUUUACUUUAAAGUUGUUCUAUAUGUUAGUCUUGCCUCAAUGACCAUGAUUUGACUAAUUUGUACUAUGAUUACUCUUGGUUUACUAUUCUAACUUUUCAAUGAUGCCAAAAGAAGGUAUACAAUGUUUAUAUAGUAGGGACCAGGUACCAGGUGAAUUGAGUUGUAGAUUUGAAGGGAGUCAUAUUGAUAAGGGGAUGUAUUUAAGUGCAGGAGGUGUGAAAAUGCACAAAAUGAAGGUUCAUGAUAACAGAGGGAAUAAAUCAGAGGUUUUUGCUAUAAAUAACAAUAAGGGACUAGGUCCUGGUGCUGCAUAAUGAUAGGGAGAACAUUUAUCUUCAAGUUAUAAUCACUAAUUAAAUAUGUUGAAUGUGCAUUAAUGCUCAAAGUUGUAUGGUUGGUUUGUUAUGAUCAAAAAGGGGGAAAAUUGGUAUUUGUAGUUUUAUUUCUAAGCAGCUAACUGCAAGGGACCAGGUCCCUAGAUGUGCAAGGUACAGUAUGGUUGGUUUAAUGAUAUUUCAUCACUAAUCACCACUUAUCUAUAAAAGAAAAAAAUUCAUAUUUAUCAAAUCAGUUUUUUUGCAAUGAAAAAGAGUGAAGAGAGGCAGAAAAAAACCUAUUUCAACACUGCUCAAGUUCUUAGCUUUAUGAGUGCUUAAAUAGAAAAAGUUUUCAAUGAGUUUUGAGUUGUAAAUGAAUUACUCUUGUAUAAGUGUAAUGAUUUUUUCUUUUGUUGAGAGAGGUGCUUAGGUAGAGUUGCCUAAGAUUAUGACUAAUUGGAGUUAAUCAAUAGAGAGAGUCCUUGAUAAGGUUACCAAGAUGAGCUUGUAGUACAGUUGCUACUAGCAAAAUGAGCCUAGAGGUAGGCUGAAAUCUACACUAUAAUUAGGAGGUUGAUUAUAGUGGAUUUCCUUAGUGCUUAUGAGGGUGAUCCAUGGUCUUUCCCUUCCUGGGUUUCCACAUAAAAAUCUUAUGUUUUUACUCUUCUUGCACAAUCUUUAAUUCUCCUGGACUAUAUUGUUUUAUUGCCUAUUAUUGACUCUGAGGGACCUGAUCCCUGAUUGUGUGUUGCAACCCUUAAGGUUCCUACAAAGUAGGAUAAGAAUAUACAUAUGUCCUCUAUUAGGUUAAAGUAAAAGAUGAAAAUAUGAAUGUAUUUAACUAUGUUUUUUCAUCCCCGAUCAUUGAUGUAAUUGUGGGGCUAAUUUAAAUAAUUGAGUAGAGGUUCAAAAUUCCAAAGACAUCGUAUGAACCCAGUGACCCAACAACUAAUAUAAUCUACCUAACUAACAAAGUUUAUAGCUUAGUACGAUAUUCACAAUGCCUUAUCCCUAAUCUUUUCCUCAUAAAUUUUCAACCCCUUACUUUAUAGCAUUGUUUAGUUUAAUCUUAGUUUUAACUUACAAUUACUUUUGGUUACAUUAGUAGUGACUUAAUCUUAAUAGUUGGACUAGCAUGGUAUAGUUGUUAAUACAAGUCCCUAAGGGAUCAAUAUUUUGCUUGUAAAAGGCCACUAUAUUACUUGGUGAGACUACAUACACUUGCGUAUGUACUUAGGAGCAAGAAGUGGUAGAUAGUUUCUUAGGAGAAGAGAACUAUUUUAAACCUAAAGAACAUGUUGAGAGCAUACGUGAUUAAUUUAAAGGGUAGUUGGGAUGAUCAUCUACCUUUUAUCAAGAUUACAAAUAAUAACAAUUAUCACUCUACUAUUCAGAUUGACUAUUUAAGGAUCUUUAUGGAAGGAGGUGUAGAUCUCCUGUAGGUUGAUUCAAAAAUAGUGAAAUUGUAUUGAUAGGGCCAGACUCAGUUCAUGAGGCUAUGGAGAAAGUUUAGAUGAUUAAAGAUAGGUUGAGAAUAGCUUAGAGCCAUAAAAAAUCCUAUAUAAAUAUGAGAAGAAGGGAGCUUGAGUUUUCUAUUGGUUAUUUGGUCUACUUAAAAGUCUUACCUAUGAAAGGGUGAUAAGGUUCUAGAAGUAAGGAAAGAUAAGUUCCAAAUUUAUGAACCUUAUGAGAUUGUAGGUUUGUUUUGGAAAAGUGGUCUCUGAGUUAGAUUUGCUGGCGAAUUUAGUAGUAGUGCCUCUAGUCUUUCAUGUUCCUUAAUGAAUAAGUGCAUUGGUGAUCUCGCAUCAUCAUGAACUUAGAAAGGGUUGGCAUGAAAGAUAGCCUCUCUUAUGAAGAGGUUCCUAUUGCAAUCCUUUACAUCAGGUUAAAAGGUUAAGUAAUAAAGAAGUUUCUUAGGUAAAAGCCCUUUUGCAAAAUCUGUUAGUUGAGGGGGCUACUUGGGAAGCAGAGACAGACAUGAUGCGCAAGUACCCCUAUUUUUUUCCUUCGAGCUUUGUCCUAGUUGGAGAUAAUAGUUUCCCUUAAUUAACUAAUUUUUUCUAUUUCAUGUCACCCAACUUUUCCCAUGCCAUACCAUGUGUAUGUGUCUCAAAAUUAGCCUAUGAUUUAGUUAUUGAUCUAGUACUAUUCCAAUGCUCAACUCAUAGAAACUUAAUCUAUGAAUUUUAGGUACAAAUAUUGUAGAAGGUUUCCUACAAUAUCAGGAGAAGUGGUUAUAAAAUUUGGGAAUUGAAGAUAUUUUACCCUAACCUUCCAACUGACUUAGUUUCUAUUCGAGGAUGAAUGACCCUAAAGGGGAGACAUUAUAAUACCCCAAGAAAUACAAUUCUAGUCUAAAACCAUAAUUCAAGUAUAUGUUGGAAAAAUCAUCAUGUUUUAAUAGAAUAAGAGGGGAUUUGUCAAAGUACUAAGCCCCUAAGAACCGCCCAUACCUUAACCAAGACAAAACCACCCUUACCGAUCGAUUCUUAAAAAAAGAAAUUAGAUUUUGAUGAGUAUAGCUUCCACAUUAAGAAUUAUUUUUAACUCCCAGACCCACCAAAUGAAAUAUAUUUUAAUUACCUUCCAACACAUGUAGUUUUGCCUUAAUCCGACAUCAAAGUAGUAAGUUAUGGCCAUUUAAGUAAAGCACUACUCUAUAGUAAGAUAGCACGAGACCAACCAUGAUCAUGGUUACUUUAUAUGACCAUACAAUAGUCUCAUCUGGUCAAGAAAGAACCAAAUUCUGAAAUUUGACAAAGUGUACCCUCAUGCCACAAAAGGGAACCGUGAUGGCGCUUUGAAACUAUAAGACCCUAAAAAUUUCAAUGAUUUUAUUUUUGACCCUCCCAUGGUUGUAAUAUCAAUUUUUGACUUGAAUUAUGUUUAGGGGUGUUACAAAGGUGCUUGGGGAAAGUUUUAGAAUUUUUGAUUGGAUUCAAGGUCAUUUUGGGAUCCUGAGGCAAUGAGCGUCUGUGAUAUCACCGUGUCACGAAGGCUACCAUCUAUGAUAUCGAUAUGGCACAAUGAAUAGUCUCCACAAUAUUGGUAUGCCAUGCUAAGGUGAAAAUUUCAUGCAGUUUUAUUUUUUAAUCACUUGGGAUGGGGGCUUUUGUUCUUCUUACCCCUUGUACGACUUUUAAACAUAAAAUAAUCCAAUUCCCAAUAAUUUUUCAAAAUGAAAUCCCCCUAUUUCACUCUCAAAGAUAAAACCCAAGAACAUUCCAAGGGUUUCACUAUGUAUUCAUCAUUCGAGCACCAAAAUGCAAAUUAACAUCAAAUUCUUAUGUGUUUUAGGUAUUUAUCUCUCCCCCAAACCUUAAGUUUACAUUGGAGCAUUGAUUUGAUGGAUUUUCAUGUGAUUUUAGUUAUGUUUUUGGAACUUGGGUUGAGGAGUUUUGGUUCUUUUUGAUUGAAUUACUUAUCCCAUGAUGUGAAUUAAAUAUUCAUGCUCUAAAUUGGUGUUUUUUUGGAUUGAAUUGUUAAUUCAAUUAAAUGGUUGGAAUGAGGAAAGUGGCUUUCCUCAUAUUGGAUGAAUUUUGGCUUAGAAUUGCAUGAACCUCAGCCCAUUAUUUAAUUUUAUUUUAAUUAUGGAAAAAUUAGAUGGUUUUAAUUGAUUUGAACUCAAGGCAUUUCAUUAAUGGAUAAAUGGUUAUUUAAAUAGAUUUGGAUGGCCUUGGUGGCCAUGGUUUGGAUUUUAAUUUAACUUAGGAGUCAAUGUGGAUUGUGUGGCUUGGUUUGACAUAUUUAGUUUAACCUGCAGGUAUAUUAUUAUGAAGAUACCAAGUGGUUAAUACCUUAAUGAGUAACUCUUAGGUUAAUGGUUGGAAUUAUAUGUUAAAUGGUUUUAAUUUGGGAUUAAAGGGGGUUUUGUAGCUCAUCAUAGAAGGUAUAGGUCCUGGAAGGACAAAUACUAGAAACCACAUUUGCCAGCAUGGGGGUCUUUAUGACCAUAUGCAUAGUUCACACAUUAUAUAUAUAUUUUUGGAAUUUUGGAGCCUUGGUGGCUUUGGCCCUUCCUCGAAUUUAUUUUGUUCAUGCGGCUAACAUACACUUGGUCCCUUUCAGUAGGGGAGUUGAAUCUAUACAGCCCGUGGGUGCAUUUAGGAUGAUCAGAACUCCACAGUCUAGGAUAAUUAUUUUUAAAUCUUAUGCCUAAACCUUUUUCCCUAUCCUAAUAUCCUAUAUAUGUAUAUAUAAAUAUGUGCAUUUUGGUUUUGAUUGAGUUUUGGACAUAGCAUUAUAUUAUCACUUUCACUGAAUUUCAUGCCAAUUCUUUUCCUACUAACCAUCCUAGGAUGCUACAUUGUUUAAUAAUAUAAGGUCCAAAGAUACUUAUUUUAUCCUUGUGCGGUGUUAGGUGGAUUAACACAUUCGAUGAGUAGCUAUGAAGUGAUGAGCCUUUAUUCUUCAAAAGGCUUUAUCAUUUCCAUAUGAUUUCAUUUUUGACUCAUUACUUUUGGAUUCUUUUGGUCAUGUUCGGGGGCAUGUCUUAACCUAUUUGGUAUUUUGUUUUUAGAGGCCAUUUUGGAAAGAUGUGGGUUAGUUGGUUGUUAGUUGACUCUUAGUUUUAAUAGAGUUAUCUAUUUAUAUUUAUUACUAUUUUAUUGGAUUAUAAAUUUGUUAUUAUUAUUACUAUUAUGUUCUUGAGGUUGGGUUAAGAGGGUGGUCUCCACUCCAUGGUGUUCUUGAGAUACCUGUCAUGUCCAGGCCCUACUUUGGGUCUUAAUAAGCUUAGUAUCUGAGCAUGGUUUAGAGUCGUUGGGUGUCAACAAAGACAUGUUAAGUUAAGUCCUUUUUAUGGGUGUGUAGUGCGCCAUACUUAUAAGGAUGAGGAGGCUAUAAGGAAUUUAGGAAUGUUUCCCUUUAUUGUGUUCUAUUUUGGGCUAUAGAGUUUAGUGUAGUUAAAUUUCUCUAACUCUUGGCUUCCUCGCAUUUAAUAUCAUGCCUCCCCAAAGAUCUAAUGUUCAUAGAAACUUUGCUGGGAACUCUCUCCUGCAUAAAGACAUUAUAGAGAUAAGUGGCCCUAUGUAUGGAGUGGAGACCUUGUCUAGGGUCUCUGCUUCUAAUUGUGUCACUCCAUGUAGAGUUCCACGUGUCCCUACUAGUCCUUUCCAGUCUUCUUAGGGUGGUGAUGCUUGUGAUCAACCACCUUAGGGGGAAAUCUCUAAUGCAGAGUUCCACUAAUCUAUUUAUUAACUUACUCAAUUAUUGAUAUCUCAAUCUCAUCAACUGGAUCAUAUUGGUUCUGUUUCUUCUUUAUCUGAGGUCACUUGGGUUAUCCAGUUCAUGAGGUUGAAUCCCUAACCUUUACAGGAUCUAAGGUUAUUGAGGAUCCUUAAUAUUUAUGGAUGGGAUGGAGAAGAUUCUCAGAGUGAUGUAUGCCACUGAUUUUAAAAGUGUAGAAUUUGUUACAUAUCAUCUUAAAGAUGUAACUUAUUAGUGGUAAGAGGAGUGGGAGUAGUUUAGGGGUAAUGAUCUAGAGCUGACAUUAUGAUUUGAGUUUUUGGGUGCCUUUCUUGAUCAUUUUUUUCCUUAGGAGCUGAUGGAAGAUGAGGAUAAGGAAUUUGUUACUCUAAAGUAGGGUAGGAUAAUUGUUAAAGAGUAUGCCUUAAAAUUUUAGUUUGUGUCUCAUUAUGCUGCAGAGUUAGUGUCUAUCUAGGGAUCCAAGAUGAGGAAGUCUGUAUCUGGGUUGUCCCAUGAGUUGGUAUUCGAAUAUAAGGCUAUGAUAUUAAAUAAUGACAUGGCUAUCUCUAGACUUAUGGUUUAUAUGCAAUAGUUUAAGGAUAAAAAAAAGAAAUACGUAGAGAUAGUAGAGAGAUAGAGCAAGAAGUUUAGGUAUUUAGAGAUAGGUGAGGGGCAGCAGAAUAGUGGGAAAGAUAGUAGACAAUGGACCAAGAAGAAGAACUGGGACAAUUCUUAUUCUCUGUUAGUACUCUUUAUCCUAAGUGUUUUGGCGAUCAUCAUGCUCAGGCUAGUGGUUGUUCUAAGGCUUAGGUUGCCUCGCUCAGGAUAGUAUAACUCAGUCAGCCCCACCUUAUCCUUCUUAUGGUAGCUUAAUUAUGGUUAUUAUGAAGAAGAGAGGAAUUGGUGUUAUAAUUAUUAUCAUCUUGGUUAUAUGCAGCAAGAUUGUCCUUCAGCCAAAGUUUACACUGGAACUAAUAAAGUUCUGGUGCCACGUCUUCAACUCCUGCACCAAAGGGCGCUACUUAUGGUAUCAUUACUGGACAAAAUCAUCUCUACCCUCUUGUCACCCAGUAGUAAUCGGAGGCAUCUCCUGAUGUUGUUACUAAUAUGUUACAAUUCUUUUCCCAUGAUGUGUAUUUUUUGUUUGAACCAGGGUCUACCCUUUCUUUUGUGACCCUAUAUAUGGCUGUGCAUUUUAAUAUUGUCCCUAAAAUUAUUUUUGACCCCUUUUCUAUGUCUUCCUUGGUGGGUGAUUCUAUAGUCUCUAGAACAAUCUAUAGGGGUUGUGUGGUGUCUAUCUUUCAUAGAGAGACAAUAAUGGAUUUGAUAGAGUUGGAUAUGGUAAAUUUUAAUAUGAUCUUGAGGAUGGAUUGGAUUCACUCGUGUUUUGCUUCUCUAUAUUGUAGGACCUAAAAGGUCAUUUUUCACUUUCCAAAUGAGUCGGUAUUAGAAUGGGUGGGGAGUUCCACAGUACCCAAAGAGGGGUUUAUUUCCUAUCUUAGAGCUCAAAAAUUUAUUUCAAAAGGGUGUUUACAUAAUCUAGUUUGGGUUAAUGAUUCCAACUCUGAAAGUUCUUCUUUGCAAUCUGUCCCUUUGGUUAAUGAAUUUCUUAAAGUUUUUCCUGAUAAACAUCUUGGAAUUUCUCCUGAUAGGGAAAUAGAUUUUGGGAUUGUUCUUUUAAUUAAUACUCGUCCUAUUUCCAAUUCUCCUUAUAAAAUGGGUCUAGUAGUGUUAAAAUAGCUUAAAGAGCAGUUAAAGGAUCUUCUUGAUAAAGGGUUCAUUUAUCCUAGUAUUUCUCUAUGGGUUGCUCCUGUGUUUUUUAUGUGAAACAAAGAUGGGUCUCUUCAGAUAAGUAUAGACUAUCGUCAGCUGAAUAAGGUAACAAUGAAGAUUAAGUAUCGUCUUCCUAGGGUUGAUGAUUUUUUUUAUUAGGUUCAAGGUGCUAUAUGUUUUUCUAAUAUUGAUCUUCAUUCAGGAAAUCAUCAGUUGAAAAUUAGGGAGGUUGAUAUUCCCAAGAAUGCUUUUCGAAUUUGGUAUGGUCACUAUGAGUUUUGGUGAUGCCAUUUCAGUUGACUAAUGCUCCGACUUCUUUCAUGGAUCUUAUGAAUCAUUUUUUAGGUAGCUUUUAGACUUAUUUUGGAUAUUUUUCAUUUAUGACAUCUUGGUGUAUUGUAAGUGUAAGGUGGAUAAUGCCAAUCGUCUCUGAAUUGUAUUGUAGACCCUUAAAGAACAGAAGUUGUAUGCUAAAUUUUCUAAGUUUGAAGUUUGAUUCAAUAUGGUGACUUUUCUGGAACAUGUUGUUUCUAGUGAAGCGAUUAAAGUGGAUCCAUAGAAAGUGGAGGUAGUUAAGAGAUGGCCUAGACCCAUGACUCUAACUAACAUUAGGAGCUUUUUGGACUUGGCUUCAUAUUAUAGGAGAUUUGUGGAGAGUUUAUCAUUUAUUGCUACUCCGCUGACAAAGAUAACUCAUAAGACGGUUAGGUUUUUGUGGUUCGAUGCUUAUGAGGGUAGUUUUGAGAAGUUGAAAAUAAGAUAAAUUUUGUGCUAGUUUUGACCUACCUGAGGGUAUUGAUAGUUUUGUUAUAUUUUCUAAUGUAUCUCGUGUGGGAAUAGGCUGUUUGAUAAAACAUGGUAAGAUUGUAGCCUAUGCUUCUAUGCUUUUUAAGGUUAUGAUAGGAAAUAUAUAACUCAUGAUCUAAAGUUUGUGGUUAUGGUUUUUUCUUUGAAGAUUUAGCACCAUUACCUGUAUGGGAUGAAUGUAGAUAUCAAUUUAGAUCAGAAGAGAUUGUAGUAUGUGUUCACUCAGAAAUAGUUGAAUAUCAGGUAAAGGAGGUGGUUUGAAUUGCUCUAGGAUUACGAUAUGAGACUCCACUAUCAUCCAGGUAAGUAAUAUUAUUGCCAAUGCUCUUAGAAAUUUUUCUAUGGGGAGCUUAUCAUAUGUGGGUGAGUAGAAAAGAGGAUUAGCGAUGUACAUUCACAAAUUAGCUAACUUGGGAUUUCAUCUUUUAGACUCGAAAGAUAUGGUAGUUAUUAUUUAGGAAGUAGUCAAAUCAUCUCUUAGUACUAAGGUAAAGGAGAAAUAGGAUUUGGAUCCCAUACUCAUACAUAUUAAGGAUGAUAUAGGUCUGUCAAAUGUGAUGGCUUUCGAGAUUGGGGGAGAUAGCAUUCUAAGGUACUGAGGUAGGUUGUGUUUUCUAGACGUUGAUGGACUGUAAGAAAGGAUUUUGAUUUUGGCUCAUGAGUCCAGAUAUAUGAUUCAUCUAGUUUGACUGAAAUUUACCAUGACUUGAAGGAGAUCUAUUAGUGAAAUAACAUGAGGAGGAAUGUAGCAAAUUUUGUUGCUAAGUGUAGGGUCUGUCAAUAAGUCAAUGUUUAACACUUGAGGCCUGGUGGCCUAGCUCAAGAGAUAGAGUUGAUAAUAUGGAAGUUGGAGAUGAUUAAUAUGGAUUUUAUUACAAGUCUUACAUGGUCCCACAAUCAAUAUGAUUCGAUUUGGGUAAUUGUGGAUAUGAUAAAUAAGUCCUUUGACUUCUUGCCUGUGAGAACUAACUACUAGGGAGAGGAUUAUGCAAAGUUAUUCAUUCAGGAGAUUGUUAAUUUUCAUGGUGUGGCAGUGUCCAUCAUUUUAGAUAGAAGUAUGCAAUUUUCAUCUUACUUUUGGUAUUUUUUUAGAAAGGUUUGGGUACACAGAUGAACUUUAGCACCGCCCACCCUUAGAAGAAUGGGCAAGAGGAGCGUACUUUUAAGACUUUGGAUGAUAUGCUAAGGGCCUUUUUGAUUGAGUUUAAGGGUUUUUGGGUUGACCAUUUACCUCUUAUUGAGUUUAAGUAUAUUAAUAGUUAUCAUUCGAGUGUUCAAAUGGCUUCUUUUGAGGCUCUUUACGAUUGGAGUUGUAGGUAUCCUAUUGGAUUGUUUGAGGUUAGUGAGGCUGGGUUCUUUGUUCUUGACUUUAUUCACCAAGCCAUGGAGAUGAUUAACGUGAUUAGACAAAGACGUAUGACUUCUCAAAGUCACCAAAAGUCUUAUGCAUAUUUGAGGCGAAGAGAAUUGAAGAUCUAAGUGAAUGGUUAGGUAUUCUUGAAGGUGUCUCAUAUGAAAGGAUUCAUAAAAUUUGAGGAAAAGGGGAAGCUCAUUCCCCAUUACGUUAGUCCAUACCAAUUUUUUUAGGAGAGUUGAGAAUAUUGCAUAUGACUUGAACUUACCUUCGAGUUCGGGUUCUAUUCAUCCCGUGUUUCAUGUGCAUAUGCUGAAAAAAUGUGUGGGUGAUCCUUCCUUGAUAAUAUGUGUUGAGGAUGUUGGUGUUACGAAUUCUUUUACUUGUGUAUCUGACAGGAAAGUUCAUAGGUUGAGUUCCAAGGAUGUAGCUUUAGUGAAGAUUCAUUGGAUAAACCAAAAUUUUGAAGAGGCUGCAUAGGAAGCUGAUUAAGAUAUGAAGGCCAAGUAUCCAUUCUUCUUCUUCGAGAUGGACAAAAGUGCUUAUGGUGUGAGUUUUAUUUUUCUCUUGUUACCUUACAAGUUUUUCAUUUGAUUUUGAUGUAUUCUAGUUAUUAUCGUGGUAAAUAUUGUCCUAACUUAUUAUACGAGAACGAAUGAUCAUAAGGGGGGGAUAAUGAAAGACCUUUAAAAUUUCAAUAAUUUUAUUUUUGACCCUUCCUUAUUCGUUAUAUCAAUUUUUGACUUGUAUUGUAUUUAGGGGUGUUAAAAGGGUGCUUGGUGAAAGUUUCAAAUUGUAAGGGGUUUGGGUCAUUUUGGGACCUCGAGGCAGUGAGGAUCCGUGUUAUGACCGUUUCACGAAGGCUACUCUCAGUGAUAUCGGCGUGGCAUAGAGGAUAGUCUUCGUGAUAAUGGCGUGCCAUACCAAGGUGAAAAUUCAUGCAAUUUUAUUUUUUAGUUUCUUGGGAUUAGGGGAUUUCGGCCUUUUUACCCCUUUUAUGACUUUUAAAAAUAAAAUAAUCCCAGUCCCAUCAAUUUUAAAAGAUCAAAUACCCUUAUUUCACUCUCAAACAUAAAACCUACUAGAUGUAGUUUUGAUUAUGAGCAGCUGACUACAAGGGACCAGGUCCCUAGAUAUGCAAGAUACAGUACAAUUGGAACGCAUUGUCUGUACAUCUUUGUCCUCUUAGGUAACAAACUUCCAGGUUCUAUUUCAUACUGAUUUGGACAGUUGGUCCAAUGAUCUUUCAGCGCUAGUCAUCACUCAUCUAUAAAAGAAAAGAAAUGCCUUUUCAUCAAUUGAUUUUUGCAAAUUCAAAAAGUAAGGAAAUACAGCAAAAACUUUAUUUCAAGAUUACUCAGGCAUUACUCAUGUUCUAAUCUUUGUAUUUUGCUUAAUAAGUGAGUGAGUGUUCUUGAGUGAAUAAUGAUUUUUAACUGAAGUACUCAUGUUAUAAGAGUAGUGUCCUAUUUUUUUGAAAGAGGGGCUUAGGUAGAGUUGCCUAUGCUCAUGACUGAUUAGAGUUAUUCAGUAAAGAGGGUCCUUGGUAGAGUUACCAAGAUGAGAUUGUAGUAGAGUUGCUACAAGCGAAAGGAGCCUAGAGGCAGGCUAAAUUCUAGAAUGUAAUCAGGUGGUUGAUUAUGGUGUAUUUCUUUGGUGCUUGUAAGGGAAAUUCAUGGUUUUUCCCUUCCUGGUUUUCCACAUAAAUUUCUUAUGUUAUCAAUCUUCAUUCACUCUCUUUAGUUCUCUUGCACUUUCUUGUUAGUAUGCCUAUGAUUGACUUUGACGGACCUGGUCCCUCAUGGUGUGGUGCAACCCCCAAGGGUACAAACAAAUGGUAUUAGAGGGAGGUCACUAUAAAAGGUUCACACCUAGAGUGUCUUGGUCAGCAUGACUGCUCUAAAAUAUCUAUUUAAAUAUUUGGAGAGUUAGAUUUUAAGUAAAUUCCUCUAACUCUCCAAAUAUCUAAAAUUCAAGAGUAGGUUACUAAGUUAAAAUCUGAAAAUUCAAGCUUAGUUAAUCAACUGGAGAAAUAUAAUAGUGCCUGGGAUAAAGAUAAAAAUAAUGCACUAGAAUAAUAGAUAGAAGAUCAAGAGAUUGAGUUGAUAGCUUUGACUCUACAUAUAUUAGAAAUUGAGUAAUGGGUUGCUAAGCUAAAACUUGAAAAUCUAUGUUUGGUAAGUUAACUGGAGAAAGUAGAUGUUUCUGUGUGUAAAGGGAAGAAAUAAGUCUCAAAAUUUUAGGUUGAGCUUAAAUAAAAACUGGAGGUUUCCCAAAGGAUUCUCAUGAUUGCACUUCACAAGAAUGAGGUGUUAGAAAAAAACCUGGUUCGUCUAAGGGAAAAACUUAAAAAAAUCCCAAAAAUGGACUCAAUAUUCUUAGAUCCUUUCAAACUUGACUAAUCGAGAAGUUAAUAAUGGUAAGGGCCUUGGGUAUCAGCACAAAACUCAUUCAUCUGGGUCACAAGGAAAGAUUGAUCAAACUGUAAAAAAACAAAGCAUGUAUAUCCUUGUGCACUCACAACAGAAGAGAUGACAUCUGAAAGAAGAAUGUCUAAGCUGGCUCAGAGCAAGAAUAACAAUUGUUAGACAUGUACACCAGGGGAGCACCUUUUAUAAAGGUGUAAGACCUUGGAAAAACAUGAAGAAUUGCAUACUACCUAGAUGGAAAAUAAGGUAUAUAAUCACACCUUAGUCCUCUUACUGGAAACUCAAACUCAAAUGAGUUCCCAAGUCUAACAAAAAAUGUAUGUUCAGGAGAGAGAAAGCAUUUGCUAAUAGAAAAACCUUCCUGUUAUGUAAUUGCUAAAGACUAAAUGAAAUGUAUGAUUAUAUUCUAUUUCUCGAGACACUUCAAGGUGAGGUGUCUUAUGUGAUUCACACUUAUAUCCCAAGAAUGAGAUCACAAAUAUGUGAAAGAAAAUGGCAAGUUCAAAGCAAUGCAUGAGUAACUCUGGAAACUUGAAUAAUUCUAAGUUUAGAACCUGGUCCUCAGACCUAUUUCUAGAAUAAUUCAUGAUAUAAUAUGGUGUAAUAAAUCUAACAAGCUAAUGUUAGGAUUGAUCAAAUAAGCCUAACCUAUAAUUAAGUGAAUCAGUUUCUCUUCACAAAAUUGGCUAGGUUUAGGAGGCAGCUAUCCUUGGUAUACUAGGUACAUAUUGGUCUAACUCAGUACCAUACCCUUGUAGGGAUACACCUAUGGGAGAAACUUCGGAGGUGGAUAGAUAUGACAAGCACAAAUUUGGAGAUUCACUUAAACUAGAUAAGGACAUGGUCCCAUCUCUCAGGUUAGUAUCUUGUAUGUGCAAAUUUUGUCUGUUCUGCCAAGAAAAAUCUGCAUCCCCCUGUCCUUUUGUCAUAAAAAAUUUGUCAUAUUUUAAAAGGAAUGAGUAACCUAUAAUAUGAUAUUGAUCAUAUCUUGUUUCCCCAGAAUACCUUUCCUUGUGCUCAUUAUUCUUUAAAUCUUGCUGCACCAACUCCUUCUUGUAUCAAAAAGGAAAACCAAAAUUCGAAAUAGCCUUUCAAAGAAAGUACCUUCUUGAUGGUUGCAGCUCUCCCAGUCUCUUGUCAUUCAAAGGAUUCUAAGCUUAGCAUUGUGAAAAAUCACUUUCCAAAUGCUCCUAAAAAACAUCCUUUUUAUCCUUCUCUUUCAAAGGUUAACUCCUUCAUCACUCAACCUGUCAAUGAAGAAUCAUCCCUAAAUCUUCAAAACUAUCCUGAUGAUGUUGUGAUGGAUGAAACAUGGGCUGCUGAAAAAUCUCAUCUUAUUGUCAAAUAGCUUAGGAAAGAUCAUAGUUGAUUAUAAGAAACUUGAUUUCAGUAAAAUACCAAAAAUUUCUGGAAAAUAUUCUAGAAGUUUUAUUGAGUAGCAACUGACUCUUUAGGGACCUAGUCCUAAGAAGAGAAAAGUAUGUGAAAGAUAAUCUGCGAUCACUUAUACUAGAUGAAAGAAUCAAGCAAAAAAUGAGGUUGUGUCCAAGGAAGAAAUAAACACGUUGUUGAAGAAUCAAAAGGUGUUAACUAGAAGGAUUUUUGAUUCCAAUAUGCUAACAAAGCCUGGUAAGGUUGAAUUAGUUGAGUUUGUUUAACAUCAAGGUUGGAUGUAUGAAAUGGAAGGACCUAUUCCAACUAUUUUUUAUGAGAUAGUCACAGAAUCUAUUUCACUUUGGAAUUCUUAGAAGAUGGGAUGAAUUUGACUGCACAAGUCCAAGGAAAAAAAAUUAAGCUAAAUGAGGAAACACUGGGGAGGAUUUUGGAAGUUCCUAUAUAUGGGGUGAGAAAUUCCUCCAAGAUGCUACCUUAAAUAGAAUUCUUAGCAAAUGCAUCCAAAAUAAAAGGAAAAUUCAUGGCUACAGUGAAUAGGAAAUCAUUCAAAAGUAAGUUUCAAUUGAUCUUUGACUUUGUGAAUAAGGUUAUUCUGCCUAGCUAACCAAAGAAAAGCAAUGCCUCAUCCACUGAUUUGUAUGUAAUGGAAUGAAUGAUUAGCUUUAAAUUCAUUAAUCUACCUGCAUUGAUGAUAAAACACAUUCACAAAGUUGUUCUUGGGAAAAAUUGAAAGAAUGGUAUUCCUUAUAGAUUUUGGCUGAACAAAGUACUUAAUCGUUAUGGCAUUGUCAGUGAUUUUGGAACCCAAAGAUAUAUGGUUCAAAUGCUUGAUAUGAAAACAUUGGUCAGGACUGAAUGUCUCAAACCAUGUAGAAUUUAUUAAAGAGAGAGCUUAACAAGGAAAUAAAGGAACUAAAGUUCAACCUAGCUACCAAAGAUGAAGAAAUCAGCAAGCUCCGGGUUCCAAUUCAGCAUUUCUCAAAAAGGAGCCCAUGUGACACAGAAAUACUAAAAAAUAAGAAUUCCAAACUGAAGAAGAAGGUGUCAUUAUUAACUGAUUAGGUCCUUAGUUUGAAUGGAGAGAUAAGGCAUCUCAACAAUAACCUAACCCUACUCCUUUAAAAUCCUUUUCCUAGUCCUUCACUUGUUAACCCUUCUUUAUUCCUGUGGUUUCUUUUUUGUGGCUUUUUCCCUACGAACAUUUAAUUUAUGCACUGCAAUAAUACUUCUCCUACUUAUGAAUGAAUCUUUACUUUGUUUGUUACAUUUGUUCUCUUUAAAUUGUAAAGUUAUUCCUCAUGUUAGUGUUUCCCGGUGGCUAUGAGUUAACUAAUUUGUGCUUAAUUUAGUCUUGGUUUACUUUUAUCACUUUUCAAUGAUGCCAAGGAAAAAUACUA
This 75045-nucleotide long non-coding RNA is filed under the name Capsicum annuum. RNAcentral's name for it is "long non-coding RNA (CANN_LNC001285)". Lineage: Eukaryota; Viridiplantae; Streptophyta; Magnoliopsida; Solanales; Solanaceae. The record is from RNAcentral.